AUUUUUCUUUUGCUUGCGGUUUCCUUAUUUCUGUCCGAUCAUAAGAGAAACAAUGUAGUAUGUAGUAAUCAUUGUCGUACUAUUUUAAGAAAGGGUCCUUAAUCUCCUUUGAUUCGUGAAUGCAUCUGGUUAUUUUAUGCAUUUGAUUAGUGAUUGGUUCGGGCUACUUUAUGUAUUUGUUUAGGGAUUGGUUCUAGCAAUUUCAUGCAUUUGAUUGGUGAUUGGUUCUGGCUACUUUAUGUAUUUGAUCAGUGGUCCAAGUAGUACAAUUUAAGAGAUUCAUAUCUCAUAUUUCAUGCAUUUGAUUGGUGAUUGGUUUUGUCUACUUUAUGUAUUUGAUCGGUGGUCCAAGUAGUCAUUACAAUUUAAGAGAUUCAUAUCUCACCAAACCCACAAGUUGUUGUGGCCACCAAAGGGGAAAAAGAGCAAAUAUGGAGACGUAAAGAUUAUUAUAAACUUCAUAUUUGCUCAUCUUGUUAAAUGGUAAAUGAGCAGCACAAUAAUAUGCAAAACUAUUGAACAAACAUUAUCAACUUCAUCUUUUAAGGUUUAGACCUAGAUAAGGAAAACUUUAUCCCAUUAAGCGAUCAUGCAUGCAUUUUGAGACGUAAAGAUUAGUUAGCACUAAUUAAAAUGAAUGUUUGGUGCAAUAAAUCUAAUUAAUUUAACUCUUAAGAAUUGAUUAAAUAAUUAGCAGUGUUGGAACCAACAUCUUAAUUAAGAGGGUUUAAAAUCGAAAAAUGUGAACGAAAGAAUUUGUCAAAGGGGGUUCAACAUCUGUUGUAUAUACAUGAAAAAUAAUUUUAAGCUUGUAUAAAUAGUAUAAUUUUCCGUUGAAGGGGGAUCGGAUGAACUCUCACACUAUUAGCUAGCUCCAACCCUGAUUAGAGGCAACAGUAAAGGAAAACUACAACUUUAUUAAAAAAAAAAAUUUAGGGGUUGAGGUGGGGGGGAUUAACGACUCUGUCCGAUGAAUGUUAGAUUUGUUAUAUGUUUUUAGAAAAUCAUGUUUAUACAAUUCAAUGGAUAAUUCUUUUAAAAAUUUAUAAGUGAAAAGUGUAGUAAUUUUGAAUCAUGUAACAGGACAGGACAGGUUCAAUAGGUGCAACUAUGCUACUUAUAAAUAAUUUUAUUUGAUGAAUACCAUUAACUACUAAGUAUCUCAACCGCUUAUUUUUUAGUCUUACACCAUAAAUAUAGAUAAUGGUGGAGUAUUAGUUAUGCUAAAAAAGACACGUUUAUUACAUUUAACUUUUGUAUAACUUUAGCAAUAUACCAUAAUUAUCAUUCGAUAACAACCUUUUGAUGUGUACAAUAAAAGGAGAAAAGUAUAAUUACUAAAGCAUAUAAGGAAAAACUUCUGAACCUAGAGUAUUUGCAAUUACAAUCGACAUUGUUCAUAUUCACAUGUAAACUAUAUGUAAAAUAUAUUUCGUGACUAAAUUUGGGACAAGUUCAAGACAUAUCGACAUUGCUCAUAUUCACAUGUAAACUAUAUGUAAAAUAAUAUAUUUUGUGACUAAAUUUGGGACAAGUUCAAACGAUGUCUAUCCAAUUUACGUUCAGUUAUUAAGUCAGUCGAAUAAGUUCACUGCUCAUCAAUUUAGCAUAACUCAUCACAGACAUAUUUUAAUAAUAUUUGUAUCAUCCUAAAACAUUUAUAGUUAUUAGAACGCGAUACACAUGCAACUCACAUCUCAUAAACUAAUAUAAUCAAUACACAUGUAAAGGGUUCUAAAGACACAAAAUAUAUAAUUAGGAGGAACAAUAACUUAUCGGAGUAUUGACUAAAGAAUAUAAAUAAUAUAACAGAAAGAUUUAAAUUUUUCAAUAAAAUGUUUUAGGCGCCUUUCUGCCUCACCCCGAAGUAGAGAUACUAAUUACAUCCACUUUGUAGUUAUAUUGAAUAUGUUGUUGAAAUAAAAUAUUUUAGGUAAAAAAUGAAAUCAGGCACUACUAUUUAGAAAUUACUUAGGCAGAUUAUAUAAUAGGUAUUAGGUAGUGAGUAUAAAUUUACUUAGCACAUCAUUAUCAUUCUAUUUAAAGGAAGAUUCUUUUCUUUGAUUAGUCAUUGGUUGUUGCUAAAUAUUGGCCUUUUGAUUAGUUGUCCAAUAUACAAAAUUAGAGGGAUUCACGUUUUACCAACCCGUGGGUCCCAUACAUAUGUGUGUCCACGUAAGAAAAUAAAUAACAAAAUGUAAAUACCAAGAAAAUAUCUCUUUCUAAAAAAGAAGAAAAAAUAUUGAAGAAUUCCACGUGGCAGUCGUAUGUAGUGUGACACACUGCUGACUCCGCAAACUUUAUCGCUAUAUAGUGACAGCUGUAUCCCACUUUUUAUUUACAAAAUUAAAUUCCACUCUCACUAACCGCGCGUAAAGCACACGAAGGGUUAUUAUUACAUUUAUUAUCCGCGAGUGCUUCACCUGCAUUCUCUCUUUUGGAAAUCCAAACUCCGUAGAAUCUGAAACCUGAAUCACGUGUUUCAAGGGAUCACGUUCUUAAAUUUUUACUCACUCACAUGGCACGGAGUUUAACAAACUAAAUAAAAUAUUUGAUUCUUUUGGUCCUAAAUUAAUUGUGUUAAAUAUACCAUAAUAUUCUUUAAUUUUGUGAUCUUAAGCAUAUUACUCGUAAGGUUAAAAUUAAAAUAUUAUUAAAAAAAAAGUCUUUUAUUUUGAAACGGACUAAUAAAAAAUUGAAAUAAAAGUAUUUUUUUAAAAAAAAAAGAAAAUGCAUUACUCCCUUCAUUCCAUUUUAUGCGACAUAAUUUAACCGGACACAAUUUAAGAAAUAAGGAAAUAAGCAAAGACUUAAUAACGGUUUUCAAAUUAUGGUUUAUUAAAAAAGAUACGUUUUAAUUAAAUGAAAACUUAUAAAUAGGAUCAAUAAAAAAAUAAAAAAUUAUAUCUUUAAAUACUUAACAAAUAAAAAAAUAUGACAUUCGACGAAAACAGAAAAAAUUAACGAUAAAUGAAAUGGAGGAUUUCUAUUUAUACAAGGAAAAGGAAAACUAAAAUUACCUAUAAAUCAAACCUUGACUUUGACCAACCAAAAAAAAUAAAUAGUGGUAUCUCUUCUAUAAAUACCAUGCAAGCUUUCGAAACGCUACACAUAUCCUUUAGAAUUUGUAGAGAAGCAAAAAGUCAUUGUUAAUUUUAUGGCAAACAAAGUUGUAACUCCAAAGGUUUUUCGUAACCUCCGAUGUUUCGCUCGGUGUCUAAACACGGCUCCGACUGUCCCACCGAUGAAUUUCACCGGCAACUAUGAUGCUACGAACGUAACAACAACACCUACCUUACAACCCACCGACCAAAUAUUAGUCGGUCCUAAGGAAAAAGUGAUCAAUUUUGACGAUGUUAGGGAGUUGUUCAUGGGCGUAUCCACUUCAAAGUUGAUUAAAUCAACAUUGACACUUCAAAUGGCGUCCAUCGAACCUAUGGUUGACUUAGGUGUGUGGGUAAUGAAUUCAAAACUCAUGCACAUGCCUAUAUUCAGGGAGGUAAUUUUGGGGUUUGUUAAAAGUACAUUUUAUGAACAUUUUUGUGCUGGAAAAGACUUGACAGAAGUAAGUAAGACGGUUAGUAAGUUGUCGAGUGUUGGCUUAAAAUGCAUGCUUGAUUAUGGGGUCGAACAUGCCACGGAGAAUGAGUAUUGUGAUCAGAGUAUGAAGGUUUUUCUUCAGACAGUCGAAUCAACCGAGUCACUUCCAUCCUCAUCUGUAAGACCAAAUUCCUACAAAUCUUAUUAUUAUUAUUAUUAUUAUUAUUAUUUAUUUUCAAGUCGGACUGAUUCUACUAGAAAAUCUUAAAGUUGAAUGAGUUUUGGAAAAGGCUAAAAAAGAAAAACACUACUAAGAGGAGAAUUCAACAAAUUGGAAAGCUUACCACAAAGCUGGAUUAGUCAUCGCUGACGCUACUGAACGUGUCCAUUACGUGGAAUUCAAAUAAAAUACACAUGUUAUUCGCUUAUUUAGCUUUUUCUAGAAGUUCCGUAUAUAUAUUUCCUCUUAGAUAUAACCUGUUUCCUAAGACGAUUAAAUUCAUUUAUAUUGUAUUGUUUAACUAAAAGGUCAAUGGUGAAAUUAGCUGAAGCAAAAGUCUAAUAACAAAAGCUACAGGAAUAAAAUAAAUUCAACACAUAACAGAGCCUAAAUCUCUGAAGUUCAUAACAUUUUCUAGACCAUUGCUUGCUGAUCACAAUUUUUGAUGUGUUUAAUAGAUAACAGAGACACCUGAUUCCUAACAGAAUUAAAUUAUUUUUAAUGAUCUAUUUCUGCGUAACAAUUAUUUAAUUUUCUCUAUGAAAUAGAAACUGAGCUAUAAAAUGUGUGUAAAUUGUGUUGGAACAGGUUAGUUUUGUGGUAGUUAAGAUAACUGCAAUCUGUACACCAAAACUUCUCAAAAGAAUGAGUGAUUUACUGAGAUGGGAGCAAAAAAAUCCUUCAUUCAAUCUCCCAUGGAAGCAAAAGACGCUUCCAGUUUUUGCGGAAUCGAGCCCUCUUUAUCACACUUCAGAAAAACCAGAGCCUUUAACGGUUGAAGAAGAGCGUGAUCUCCAAUUAGCUCAUGAUAGACUCAUGACAAUUUGCAAGAGAUGCUUGGAACUCGACGUUGAAUUACUAAUUGAUGCAGAGGACACAGCUAUUCAACCCGCAAUCGAUUACUUUGUGUAUUCAGCAGCGAUUAAGUACCACAAAGACGAUCACCCUUUGAUAUUCGGAACAAUUCAGGCUUACUUGAAGGACGCGAAAGAAAGAAUGGUGAUCGCAAAAAAGUCUGCAGAGAAAAUGGGAGUUCCAAUGGGAUUUAAACUUGUUAGAGGUGCUUAUAUGUCAAGUGAAAAUGAGGUAGCUUCUAAAUUUGGUGUUCAAUCUCCGAUCCAUGAUGGGAUUCAGCAGACACAUGAUUGCUUCAAUUCAUGUGCUGAAUUUAUGCUUGGCGAGAUCGCUAAUGGCUCUGGUGCAGUUGUUCUUGCAACUCAUAACAUCGAGUCAGGUAAAUUUUAUGCCAUACAUAGUUCCUUUUUAUGGUCAGCCACGUGAAAAUUCUUUUAUCUUCGACCUUGCUUAACUAGUAAGUAUUAUAUGUUUUGAUAAAUAGGAAAACUUGCUGCAUCCAAGGCUAAUGAGUUAGGUAUCAGAAAGGAUAGUGAAAAGCUUCAAUUUGCUCAGCUAUAUGGUAUGGCAGAAGGACUUUCAUUUGGUCUGAGAAAUGCAGGAUUUCAAGUGAGCAAGUAUUUACCAUUUGGUCCUGUAGGGCAAGUUAUGCCAUACCUUAUAAGAAGAGCUGAAGAAAACAGAGGUCUCUUAGCUACAUCUGCCUUCGACAGGCAACUCAUGAGGUAAUUCAACAUCAUUAACAAUUCCGAAAACAAUCGACAGAGAUGUUUGUACUCAAAUAUGUUUAUUAAUUUUUUGUAUAUAAUUGUUUGCAGGAAGGAGUUAACCAGGAGAUUGAAAGCGGCAACUACGUGAAUCCAUGAGUUACAGUCUUGAGAAUUAAUGGAAGCUUAUAUGCAUAUAACUAGUACUCAUACGAAUAAAUCGCGGAGCCAUGGAGCUUGUAACAGAGCAAUUGAUGCUCCGUUAUUACUGUAAAUAAUUCAAUGACGUGGCUGAUACGUAGAUUUUUAAGAUCGAGACCUUAUCAGAGAUGUGCCUAUAAAUAUCUGUCAAAUUUUUUCGGCUCCGUAAUAACGAGAGAAGUGAAGGAGGCAAGCAAUGAAAUUCAAAGAUGGCCUUAUUUACAACAAAAAAAUAGAAGUGGAGGUCAAAGAGCUACCAAUUGUUAUAUGUCCAUUUGUGGUAGUGAUUUUCUUCAUCUUUCUUGUACUACUAGUAAUCUAGUAGUAUGGAAGUUUAUUCAAAGUUUAGUGUGAACAUUUGUGAUUGGUAUUCCAACAAAUGAAGGUUGGCUAAAUGAUGAAAACUGUACCAUCCAUUGGGUGUUUGGAUAGGGCUUGAUUUACGGCUCUAUAGACUAAUAUUGCUUAAAGUCCCAAAAGACAUUCAAUAUUUUUUGGUUGUGUUUUUUUGCUUUUGACUACUCUCACUAUAACGAUCUUGGCUGUCACAAUAAUUGAAACCCAACCAACUAUAAGUGAACCGAUUAUUAGGUGAGGUUAGUUGAAUGUUUAUAACCUACCACCUGAGCUAGUAUUUUUUGUUUUAAAAUGGUUUCUACUUUUGACACUAAAAUAAAUCAGUAAAAUAAAAUUUACAUAUAAUAUUUCGGCUUAUGGUUCUGUUAUCUUUUAGUAUCUUUUGUAAAAUAAAAAGAUCUAUCAUAAUUUUCGGUACAGUUAUAAUUAGUAUAUAUAGAAAUCUAGGGUCUUACUUACAAUAACCUAAUAUUAGGUUCCCUCGGAAGGUUAGGUUAUACUCUUUCUUUUCAUAUGUUUUUUUUAAGAGUAGAACAAUAUAAAUUUUGGUUAAUAUUUUAGUAUAUAUUUCUUAAUAGAAUAAAAAAAAAGAAAAAUUAUAAUUAUAGUACUUUUCGUAUAGUUUUUGAAUGUCCAGAUUUUAAUUUUAAAGAAAUUAAAUUAAUCUGUUCUAAUUUAACUUUGAAACUUAGCUUAAUUGACUCACGAAAAAUAAAGAAAGCAUAUAAAGAAAAAAUGAAUGAAACAGUCAGGUAGGUAAUGGGAUAGGACAUGCUACACAUGUAGUUUAACAAAAAUAUGAAAACAUAAUUCUAGACCGAGAGAUAAAAAGAUGGAUAAUUAAUACGCAUUCAAGCGUUAUCAAGUUACUUUAUCCCUAUUGCUAUUACUAGUCUUUUCAAUCUUAUUUAUCAAUUUUAAUAUUACAUGUUAUUGUCUUCACUUUGAUUAUCAUAUAAUUUUGACAUGCUUUAUUAAAGAUGAGAGUCUAUAAAAAAAAUAUUACAUAUGGACUCCAAGCAGCCUCUCCACCAAACUAAGUUCUCUUCUAGGGUGUUGAUUGUCAACAUUUCUAGCGACUUCUUUCAUGGGGUUCACAAAUCAAAGUUGCCUAAAACAAUAAAAUUUCUAAUAGGUCAGUAAUUGUACCCACGUGAUAUGUCAUUUGAUAGUUUUACUACUUGCCAAGAAUCUUGGCCCAACAUUAUGAUAACAAGAUUCCUCAACCGGUGCACGCCAUAUGAAAAGUACUUUCCACCGAAUCUUUUGAUUUUGAAGGCGGAGAUUCAGAUUCCUUGACCCCCAUAAUUCUUUAUCCUUUUCUAGUGCACCGCAAUUAUUGAAAAAUAAAUAAAAAACUAAAUUCAUUUCUUGACUAGUAAAAGUGGGCAAUAAAAUUCCAUCUAGAGGACCUAAUUAGAAUAAUAAUCAAAGUGGGGGUAUUAUUUUUCAAACAAGUGGGCUUAAGUAAUUGGAAAAUUAAUUCAAAUGGCAUGCAAACGCGCCGCAAAGCGAAAGCAAGUUGUAGACCGAAGUGUCCAAGAAAGUAGGACAUAUUGGGAGAGGAUUUCAAAACUAUAAUUUAAUACAAUUUUGAGGUACAAAAAAGAUGGAAUCCAAGACAAGUGGAACAACAAAUAACAGCUAAGAGAUAGAAAUUUAACCGUAGAUGUGGAAUACACAUGGUGGUACUGACCAUCUACAGUGAUACAUCGUCAGUAACAGCACAGCAUCUACUCAGCAUGAUUUAAAUAUUUUUCUUAAACUGCCUUAAAUUUUAAGUAUAUAUCACUUUUUAACCCAAUAAAUCAACUCUCACCCUUCUAUAAAUACCAUGCAACUCUGGGAAACUUUGCACAUUCAUUUCAUACAGAGAGAGAGAGAGAAAAAAAAAAAAUAUUUCAACACACAAAAAAAAAAAUUUGACAUAAAAAAAAAGUUACCAUUCCGCCGCCCACCGUUGCAUGGCAAAUAAGGUUUUCGGUCCGAAACUAUUCAAGAACCUCGGAUUCCAUGUCCGCCGUUUAAACUCGGCUCCGUCACCAUUUUCCGCCGUUCCUCCGUUAAAUUUCACUGGCGAUUUUAACGCCGUUCCAAAUUUGGUGGAACCCACACCACAGAUUAACAACACAACCACCCACCACCCCCAUAUUAACAACAACAUUAUUAAUUUCAACGAUGUUAAGGAGCUGUUCUACGGCGUUCCUACAACAAAGUUGAUUAGAUCAUCGUUAACGUUACAAAUGGCGGCCAUUGAGCCAAUGGUUGAUUUGGGUAUGUGGGUAAUGAAUUCUAAACUUAUGGAAAUGCCUGUUUUCAGGGAUGUUAUGCUUGGUUUUGUUAAGAAUACGUUUUAUGAACACUUUUGUGCUGGUAAAGACUUAACGGAAGUCCGACGGACCGUUAUGAAUCUCUCUGAUUCUGGGUUAAAAGCUAUGCUUGAUUACGGGGUCGAACAUGCCACGGAAAAUGAAUCUUGUGAACAGAGCACAACAGCGUUUAUUCAAACGAUUGAAUCAACGAAAUCACUUCCUCAGUCUUCUGUAAGAAUCCAAACUCCUAAUUAUUUGAUUAUUUAAUUUUUGUUAAUAUUAUUCUAUUCCUGAAAAAGGAAUGAUCUUGCUCUGUUUAUAUUUUUUUAAUUCUUUUUCAAAGAUUCUAUUUUAUACUAUCAAAUUCUUUCAAUAUUCUUGGAUCUAACUUUAUGUUUCAAAGAUUCUAUUUUAUAUGUUUAAGUAAUUUGUCUAACUUUAUGUUUGUUUUUUUGUUGAAACAGGCAAGCUUUGUGGUUGCGAAGAUAACAGCAAUUUGUACACCAAGGCUACUCAAAAGAAUGAGUGAUUUGCUACGAUGGGAACAAAAAGAUCCUUCAUUGAAUCUCCCAUGGAAGCGAAGAACGCUUCCACUUUUCGCUGAAUCGAGCCCUGUUUAUCACACUUCGGAAAAACCAGAGCCUCUAACGGUAGAGGAAGAGCGCGAUCUCGAAUUAGCUCAUGAAAGGCUAAAGAAAAUUUGCGAGAAGUGUUUGGAACAUGAUGUUCCUUUACUAAUUGAUGCAGAAGACUCAACGAUUCAACCCGCGAUCGAUUACUUUGCGUAUUCAGCAGCGAUUAAGUACCACAAAGACGACCAGCCUUUGAUAUUCGGAACAAUUCAAGCUUACUUGAAGGACGCGAAGGAGCGUAUGGUUAUGGCGAAAAAGGCUGCUGAGAAAAUGGGAGUUCCAAUGGGAUUUAAGCUUGUAAGGGGUGCUUAUAUGUGUAGUGAAAAGGCGUUGGCUUCUAGUUUAGGUUUCAACUCUCCGAUUCACGACAGCAUUGAGCAAACUCAUGCUUGCUUCAAUUCGUGCGCGGAGUUUAUGAUUGAAGAGAUUGCUAAUGGCUCUGGUGCAGUUGUUCUUGCUACUCAUAACAUUGAGUCAGGUAACAAUCUAAAAAAGAUUUAGUCUUUUAUUGUUUACGAUGAUGAAAUAUUGAUGUUUAACAUGUAUAAUGUGUUUGCGUCGUAAACAGGAAAACUUGCCGCAACGAAAGCUAUCGAUUUGGGAAUAAAAAUUGAGAGGCAAAGUCUCCAGUUUGCUCAGCUCUAUGGUAUGGCUGAUGGACUUUCAUUCGGGCUGCGAAAUGCAGGAUUUCAAGUGAGCAAGUAUUUGCCAUUUGGUCCUGUUGAGCAGAUCAUGCACUACCUUAUGAGGCGUGCCGAAGAAAACAGAGGCAUGUUGUCUACCUCGGCUUUCGACAGGCAACUCAUGAGGUAACAACAAAAGCAACAACAUAUCCAGUGAAGUCCUACAUGCGAGCGUUAUCUAAUUCGAUUUUUGUUAUGUUUUUGCAGGAAGGAAUUGAGCAGAAGACUUGAAGUGGCAACUUCUUGAAAUGCAUAUUGGGAAUGGAAGUGUAUGUUAGUUAGUAGAACAAUAAGCGCUGAAACAUCGCCAAUUAUUGUAAAUAAUUCAAUGAUGCGCGGGCAAACAAUGAUGAUGAUGAUGUUGAUCAAGCAACUGUGAUGGGGAAAAUGCACAAGGAACGAGUCAAUCAGGAUAUUGUUGAUUUAUCUCCUUGUGUAAAUGAAAAAAUAAAAAAUGUACAUAAGUAUUUUUAGGUUCACUUAUUGUUAUCUUUCUCCAUGUGCUAUUUUUAGGUCCUAUUAUGUUGUAGUAGCACCUUAAAAGUUGGUUGUAUUUGGUAUCGGGUCAGAAAUAGAAAUGGAAGAAAGGUACCUAGAGUGGUGCCCUAAUGUUGAAAUUACAAAGUGUGUAUCUAUUUCUCUCUCUCUCGAGACAUUAUUGUUCAAUAAAAUCUAAUUUAGUCCUCUUCAUUAAGGUUUAAAGCCUCCUUAAUUAUUAAAUUAAACUUGCAAAAGGCCAGACUUCUAACAAGCCUACUAGCCACGAAAAUUAUUCUUUUUUUUUUUCUUUCAAAAUAAUUUAUUCACUCUAUUUAAAAAUCAGUGCUUCAAAAUAAAAUGCUAGUAUAUUCUUUGCUUAAAAAUUACUCUAACUUAAUACAAUUUCAUUUCAAUUUCAACCUCAUUAAUUUCAGAUAGCCGCAAAGUACGUGAAGGAUAAGUUGUAAAGCCAAAUCCACUAACCUCAACAUCAAUAGAAUGGAAGAAACAAGAGAGUUGGGGUUCCAUCAUUAAAAAGCAAUUUUAUGUACAAAAAAGGGUAAGGAAAGUAGGCAAUUGAAGGUCCUACCAUCUAAAACAUGAACAUCAAUAGUGAAAAGGACAUGCUGAUAAUGAACUUCUCCAUGAACUUCUCCACUAAAACAUUAUCUUUAAUAUAAAAUAUUCGGAUUCAUAGUAUGAGUUCUCAGAACAAAAAAGAAGUCACUUGAUUUUAAGGGCUGUGCAUCAUCAGUAAGAUAUAUUGACCAAACACAACAACUAUUAUCAUCCGUUAGUUUUUAAUUGGUAGCGGUCCCAUAUAUAUGAAUCCUCAAUAAUCAUGCAUAUAUUAGGACUAAAUUUAGACAUGUUUCAAUCCAAGACUUUUCUCAAUCCUGCCCGAGACUUCAAGAUUUAGUAGUCGUUUUGCUAUAAAAAUUAUUUACUUUUUUUUUUUUGAAAAUUUAUUUUAUUUUAUUUUAGCAAAAAAAAACUGAAAAUGACAUGUGUUUGGCUAUGAGAAUUUUAAAUACAAUUUGAAAAAAAUAAAAUAAAACAAGUAAAACUUAUUUUCACUAUUUUUACUCUUACUUCUCUCACAAAAUUUGAAAACCAGCUCAAAUUUAUAUUUAUGACCAAACACAGCUCUAAUUCCAAUUUCAACUUCGAAAAAUUAGGAUUUUUAUGAUCAAAUGGGGCCUUAAGUUCUGUAGAAAUAGACUGAAAAUCAAAUUCAAAGAAAAGAAAAUUAAUGAAAAUGUCAUAGUAAGACUUCUUCGGGACAUAUACUAAUACAAAACCGUAGUGUGGAAUUGAACCAUUGUACUCUAGCUAAAUAACUCAAUAUUCUAUUAAAUGCAUUAUUUAAAUGUCCUAUCUCGCCUAAAAUAUUUAAUUUUGUAAUAAGACCACAAAUUCACAUAUCCAUGUUAAGGAAAAUAAAAGGACUGCCACUUAAAUAAUGGACCGUAGAUAAAUUGAAAUUAAUUGGACCUGUAAACUUUUAUUUCGGAACGAUGUUGAAAACAACUUGCACUGACCAUGCAUAUAUAACUACAGUAUUAAUGAUUGAGCAAAGAUCUUUACGUACCACGUCGUAUACUUUAUAGUUAAUAUCCCUACCUAACAGUCAAGUUGUUAGUUGUCAGAUGCAUAUAUAUUUAAUUUUGCCUACAAACAUCGGCAGCAGUUGCAGUCCACAGUCAAAUACUGUCUCUAUCAGUAACAAUUAAUAAUCAAAGUUUUUAUCCUAUAAUCAUGAUAAUAUUUUAGUAAGAAAUGUAUUAAACAAAACUAUGUCGGCUGCAUAUAUAAUUCACACCUACCCUCUAAGGGCGGAUCUGUCAUUUUAUUAUUAAUUUAACGAGUGCAUAAUUCACACCCACUCUCUAAAGGCGGAUCUAUCAUUUUAAUUGAUCGAAAUCGAAUUUUAUGAUUUUAACACUCAUGAAUCAUGAUAAUCUCAUUGUAUUUUUUAAAAAUGAUAGAAUAUUAAAAUUCACAUAAAAUAUAUAUUCCACGCUUUGAAUAUUGACAUCGGAAUAAUUAACCUAAUGUCAACACAAUAGAUUCACUUGGGAGAACUGAUUUUUUUUCGCCCUUCACAAACUUGAUCUUAAUUUUAUGUUUUUUUUUUAAUGUUCGAGAUUUUCAACUUUAUACAUAAGAGAUUUGGAAAGAACAUUUUCUUAUAGUAGUAUUCAAAUUAGAAGUGGGUAAAAGAUCUCAUUUCCUCGAUCCACCCCUUGUGGCCGCCUCGGAUAUUUCGGGAAAAGUGCAUGAUCAAGGACCAAAAUAUAAAACUGGAAACCCAAAGUUAACUGCGGUAGUUGAAUUAUAAGUUGCAAGUUAAUUACAACGACAGUAGUAUUUAGAGAGUACUACGUAGCUCCAGCUCAUUUAUUAUUGUCCACGUCCCAGCAGCCAACAUUCACCUAACCCACAGUACUCCAGUAGAAAACGAGAAAAAGAAAACAAGAUUUAUCAUGUCCAAACAACAAAUCUCUCCCUCUUUCUUAAGAGACGUAACAUUAUAUUUUACGGAGUCAAUUAACUAGAUGCUUCAGCCAUAAAAUCUUUUCACAAUUAAAGUAAUCCCCAACAAUUUCAUAAAUACCCUAGUUGGUAUAUCAUACAGAAUUUAUAUAAAACUUCAUUUGUAACAAGGUAUGUGUCAAGCAAAGUUCUUAUUUUUAUGUUAGUGUUUUUGGAUGAAUGAAGCAAACUUAAGGGGAGUUAUGAGUUGUGUGUUAUGCAACUACUCCGUAGAUAAGAACAAAUAGUUACAACAACUAAAGCAAAGACAUAAUUAAUUUGUUCCCAAACUAUUUAGGGCAAAGCAUCUAUGCAUCGAGAAACAUGUUGUUAGAUAAAACAGAUGAGUCAUGAACAGCUAGGUAGCACAUUUUGCUGAUGGAUGAGUCACAAUUCAUAAUCACAUAGUAUUACCAACACAAUUCGAACACCACAGCAUGCAUGGAAAAAUGUUUGGCAGUUGAUGACUCAUUAUUGUCUUAUAUACUGGAUAGACUCAUAACUGAUUAAUGUUUUUUUUGUUUGUUUUAAAUUGCUGAAGCCAAAAUGUGGAACAGGUUUGAUCUUAGCCGUUAAAUUUUAGGAAAGGUCACAUUACAAUACUAAAAAUCUUAUCAUAUCUAUAUAAUAUCAUACUAACACUAAUAAUCUUAUCAUAUUUAAGUGAUAUCAUACUAUCUUUUAUUUAAUGUAUCCCAUCCAUAUCUUUUAUGUUUGUUUUUUUUUUAUUUUCCAUCCAAUGUCCGGUACCCACAUUGGAAUCCGAUUAAUCUGAAUUCAUGCCGGGUAGGACCCCAUUUGGAGGAAAGCACUUUGCAAUACCCCGUAUUUUUUCUAAUCAAAUUCGUCCCUAGAACAUCAAAGAUAUGCUUCACAGAUGAUUAACUUUUAUUCCACGUAGUAUUUUUGAGAUUUUGACUUUUUGUCACGUGAAAAAUUGAAUAAACUUUCCAUAGAUACCAAAUUCGCCUAAAUCCGAUACUCGGUUGAGAAGUUAUGACGUUUUUAGUUUUGACAGUGUUUGGCUUAUCAUUUCAGAUAGCCACCGCGAUUCCACCACGCCGCGGUGGAAAUUACGAUGGAAGAUUCAUCGCGUCGCGAUGAAUGCCAAUUUGGCAAUUGUCCAAUUUUAGUAGCUCACCGUGUCGCGGUGAGGCUUUAAUCCGCAUUUUAGUUACGAGAUUUUAAAUUCCAAGGGCAUCUUAGACAUUUCUCAUGAACCAGGUCAGCCCUAAACACGAAAUUUAUCCCUAUAUAACCUACAUAUCUCAUUAUUCACUCAUGUUUCCUCAAAGUUCAUUAUUCUCUCUCAAAAGUAAGAAACCCUAGUUUCAAAAUUCAAGUACAAGACUCAAGAAUUCUUCAAGUACCUUUAAGGAUUUACGUUCUAAGGUAUGUCAAGUGUUCAUUUAUGAGUUUCUUUCACCCAUGAAGCUUAAGAAUUCCCUUUUCAAUUUAAAGAUUGUGUAUUUAUGAAUGUUCAUGAUUUAAUUGAAUUGAAAGCAAUGUUUAUGUUGUUGAUUGGGUUUUGAUUCAUGAUUUUAAAUUGACAAAUUACAAGUAUUGAUCCUAGUAUGUGAUGAUUUACAUGAUGUUCAUGAUAAACCCUUCAAUUGGCAAUUAGUUGGAUGCAAUCAUGGUAAAUAAAAGUAUUGAUGGUUUUGUAAUCAAAGCAUGUUCCUAUGUGUUCAAUAAAAUGCCUAUGUGAAUGUCUUAGUGCCAUUACUUCAUGUUCACAUGUAAUCCCUAUCUAUGUUCAAGUUAAAUGCAUGUUAAGUGUUUGAUGAAAAGCCUUAAUGAAUGAAUUAUGAUACACUAAAAUGCAUUCAUAUUCAUAUUCAAGUUUAUGACUCUCAAAUACAUGAUAAAAUGCCUCAAUAAUUGUAUUAUCGAUUGUUGAUUUUGGUCAUGAGUCAAGAAGUGUCAUGUCUUAUCAGUUUCAUGCUAUUGAGUCCUGAGGGUACUUAUACCCAACAAUUUAGCUGUGUGCCUAGAGCCAGUGUCAGUUUUCAUGAUACUCUCAGCAAGCCAUGAUUAGUAGAAUUCAGUCAGUCUCAUGACUCAGUAAAUCCAGUAUCAGUCCAGUCUCACUCAGUACUCAGUAAUCUCAGUCUUGUUAACAGAUUUCAAUAGUAUUCUGUUAGUCAACGGAAACUCAGUGAACUCAGUUCAGUUUAGUUAAAUAAAACAAUCAGUAACAGUUCAGUUCAGUUAAUCAUAUUUAGUGUCUAUUCAGUUAGGAGUAGGAUUCAGCACCGAGUGAACUCAAUAAUGAGGGCACACAUUGACAGUUAAGGGUGUGAUCCUUAGUAGCAAUCCUUGAGUUCCAGAACUACGUAGCCAGCAUGGGUUGAGAUGUACCCUACGAGUUUAGGGAUAAUACAUCUCAUUUGAGAUUUUAUUACAGGAGGGGUUGACGGAAGAGCUCCCUAUCAGAGAAGGUUUACUCACAGCUUGUCUUUACCCAUGGCACGGUAUUGACACCCUUCCAGAUGGGGUUGCAGGUUGGAUCUCACCAGUUUAUAUUUGGGGCAUGUCGGUUAGAUGAUUACCUCCCACAGUUUCAAUUUCAGAUUCAGUCUUCAGAAUAGAACUCAGUCCAGUUCCUUAGAAAUCAGGACUGUCAGACACAGUCACUCAGCUCAGUACGGAACUCAGCUAGUUUCAUCAGAAUCCAGGACUAUCAGAUACAGUCAUCUACUUUAAUAAAGAACUCAGAUAGUUCUACAGAUUUCAAGGCAUUCAGAUACAAUCAUCCAGCUCAGCAUAACACUUAGAUCAGUAAUUCAUAAUCAGAACGGUCAGAAAUAAUCAUUCAGUCAUCAGUCGACUCAGUUAUUCAGUAUCCCAAUAUUAGUAAACUCAGAUAUCAAUAAAUUCAUGUUAUCAGUAAACCUCAAUAAUUGGAACUCAGUAUUCAAUACUAUCGUGACUUCAGUUACAGUUACGUAUUUAUGCAUGUAUUCUCACGUUCAUGUUAGUUAGUCAGUUAGUAUUGUUCAUGCAUUUGAACCUUUGCAUACAGCCUACCUCACUUACAUACCAGUACAUUCAAUCGUACUGACGCAUUUGCGCUAUGGUGUUUUAUACCAUAAGUUCUGAAGCACGAGCUUUAGAGCAUUAGUAGCAUUCCAGCUUUCAGCAAUCAGAGUUAGCAGUGAGUCCUCAUCAUUCAAGGAUGUUAUUAUUUGAUUAUUUCAUUCUUUCAGUACUUAGCUAUUUCAGUAGAUGGAGUUAGUUGGGGGAUUGUCCCAUCAACUCCUUAUUCAGACAGUUCAGACAGUUAGAGGCUUUUAGACGAGAUGUCAGACUAGAUAUUUUCAGAUAGUUUAUUUUAGUUUUGGGUAUUUCUAUACCUCAUUCAGACAUUAUUUUUAUCAGUUAUGUUACAGUUUUCAGCAGUCAGAGUUAGUAGUGAGUCUUCACUAUUCAAGGAUGUUAUUAUUUGUUUAUUUCAUUCUUUGAGUACUUAGCUAUUUCAGUAGAUGGAGUUAGUUGGGGAUUGUCCCAUCAACUCCUUAUUCAGACAGUUCAGACAGUUAGAGGCUUUCAAACUAGAUCUUUCAAUCAAAAACACCCUAAAUUUUUCUAUAAUUAAAAAAUAAUUAAUUUUGUGACCUUUUAUACAUUUACUCGUAACAUAAUAUAACAUAUGAUACAUAUUAAACAUUUGUUUCUCAACAAUCAAUUUCAAAACUAAUUCUUCCAUUAUAAAUUUUAAUCAAAAUAUAUUGCGGAUCCAAAAUUUAAAGUUAAUUUAUGAAUUUUAGAUUUAUCUAUAUCUAUAUCUAUAGUUUAUAAUUUAUAUCUAUAAUAUAUUAAAAGUGUGAAGACCCUCAUUAAAAGUUCAUGCUUUAGACAAAAUGAACUCGUUAUUCAGACAGCUAGAGGCUUUCAGACUAGAUGUUAGACUAAAUUAGUUGGGGGAUUGUCCUAUCAACUCCUUAUUCAGACAGUUCAAACAGUUAGAGGCUUUCAGACUAGAUGUCAGAGUAGAUGUACAGUUCAGACAGUUAGAGGCUUUAAGACUAGAUGUUAGACUAGAUUAGUUGGGGGAUGGUCCCAUCAACUCCUUAUUCAGACAGUUCAGACAGUUAGAGACUUUCAGACUAGAUGUCAGACUAGAUGUACAGUUCAUACAGUUAGAGGCUUUAAAACUAGAUGUUAGAGGCUUUCAAACUAGAUGUCAGACUAGAUGUUUUCAGACAGUUUAUUUCAGUUUUGGGUAUUUUUAUAUCUUGUUCAGACAUUAUUCUUAUCGGUUAUAUUACAAUUAUGAAUCUUACAGCCUUACAGCUUAUAUUCCGUAUUUAUACAGUAUAUUAUGCAGUGCUCAGGUACAGAUAUCAAUCAUGGUUAGUUUGUGGUCUUUCGGGGUCAUAAGCACCGUGUAACAGUCCGGGUACCAGAUUCGGGGCAUUACACACUCCCACCAGAAUUUUGUCCGUACCUAGGGUCGAACCCUCGACCUUUGGUUAAGGACGGAACAACCCAAUCCGCUGCAUCAGAACCUAUGUUGAUUUUGAUUUUAUUGAUCAUUAUCUUUUAUAUAUCAAAAAAAUAAUAUAUUCAAAAAUUACAUUACGAUACUAAUAAUCUUAUCAUAUCUACAUAAUAUCAUAUCUUUUAUUUAAUUACAUCUCAUUCAUAUAUUUUAUGUACCAGAAAAGUAAUAUAUCCGAAGAAAUUUAUGUAUGAGAUGAGUAUCAUGAAUUAACUUAUGUUUGUUGAAUUUACUAUGAUCAUUAUGUAUCAACAAUGCAUGUAUUCGAAAAAAAGUACUAUAUUCAGUUAGCAAUGUAUCCAGCUAAUAAUGUAUCUACGGAGUAAUUAACUCCAUACUAAUUGAAUUUAUGUUGUUUACAAUGAUAUUUAAAAAAAAACAAAUAUCAAAGUACUAUCAAACUGAAGUUUUCAGUACCAUAUCAAACAGAAGUUUUCACUCCUAUCUAAAUCAUAUGAACUCAAAAACGUUUAUUGAAUUAGACCUUGUACUUAUAUUAAAAAAUUUAUAAAAUAUUUAUAAUAUGUAACUAAUUAUUAUACAUUAACUUCAAAUCAUUGUUAGAUUUGAAAAAUAUUAAAUUCUAAAUUCACUUUUAAAUGGAGUUAAGGUUUAGGUUAACUCCUUUAAUAAUAAAUUAAUAGAGAUCAAAAGUACACACUCUAGACAUCUGAAAGUUGUUGGGCUACUUUACCCUAAAUCUAGCUUGGAGGCCGCUACUCUACCCUAAACCCUGCAUUAUGCCUACAUAAACGGAUAAAUAUCCCUUUAAAAAGGUAUCUCCAAGAUCCCCAAUUUCCCUCAAAAUGAUGGGAUAUUCAUAAAGAUAUCGUCGUAUGUUCGAGAAAUACGCUACUAACGACCCUCGAAUUAUGGAGAAAUCAAGAGAUAGGAAUAAAGAGAGCAACAGAUUUGUACUCAUAUCGUUUAUCAGUAAAAAUUCCCGAAUUAAAUUAUGUUACAAACACACUCUUAAUAACUUAACUAUACGGAUAAAACAUAUACCCAGAGUCAUGCAUACUAUUAUUUCCAAAUCUCCUGUGUAAAUAAAUAAAUAAAUAAUCAUUUAUAUCAUAGUAACACAUACAAUAUUUCCUAACCUAAUCACUGAAGAAUGAAAGAUGAGUAGUAUGAGGCUAAGUGAAUCAAAAUUCUAGUUACUGAGAUAUUUUGUUAUUUUCAAGACAGCUAUUGGAGGCUUGGACCAAAUCAUCUGUUGGGCCUAAUUGGGUUAGAUUGGCUCCUUAACUACCAUAUCAUCAACCGGUACUAAUACUACCGCAUAGGAUUCAAGCAGCAAUAUCGACCACCAACCCAAAUGGAAUUGGGAUAGAGCAGUAGUUGGGCCCUGGCCAAGCAGCCCAAUCAAGUGCCCUCUGCCCUCCGUCCCAAUUUAUAUGUGUUAAUUUGAUUUGACAUGAAGUUUUAAAAAGAACCAAAAGAUUUUGAAAUUUGUAGUUUAAAAUAUGGAUACUAUGUUUAUAUGGUUGUGAAUUAUUUCAUCAAGAAUAAAAAGGAUAAUUUCAAAUUAAAUUGGUAUUAAAUAAAUAAAUGUGUCAUUUUCUUGAAACCGAUUAAGAAAGAAAGCGAGUCAUAUAAAUUGAAGGAUGGGGUAGUUAUUUUUCUUGUUGUACAUAUAGUUAGCAUCAAUGUUUCUGUUAAAUAAUGAUGCCAUGAAAAAAUAUAUGGAUUAAGAGGUCAGAUGAUUGGGGAUGGUAUCACAAUAUAGUUUGAAUAGUGUUGUCUUUUUUAGGUAGAAUAUAGUACUGUCUUUUUUUUUUCUUUUUCUUGCUAAGCAAGUAAUCAUUAACUUGACUCGCAAAGUUGAUUAGCAUGGCACGUUUGGAUGUCUACACUCCAAAAUUGCGGUAAAAAAUGGAAAAGUGAGUUACAUGUUUAUAGAAUUUUCAAACAUUGCUAAAGUUGUCACCAACUCCUUUUCAAUUUUCUUCCACUUGUUCAUUAUUUUUUCUUCCUUAGUCAAUCUAACGUUCAAUAAUAAUUAUUUACUAUUGAUUUGAUACACACAAAAAAUAAAUAAUUAAGUGAUUUUAUUAUAUCGCCAUUUAAAUAUAUUUAAUAUCAUGUUUUAAAAAUUGCAUCAAGUAAUCAAUAAUCUUUAAUGAUAGAGGUAAACUAAGUUAAAAAACAUAAUAAAUUAUUCAUUCAUUUAUCAAUUUGUCCAAACUGUACACAUAUAUUAUUGAAUAUCUAUACAAAUAUUUUGUAUAGUGGAGGGACUACUAACAAAAUAUCACCAUCCUUUUCUUAAAAAAUAUUAUAUUUGUUAAUUAAUAGUUACUUAAAUUUAGUGAUUGUAGUAUUUUAGUAUUCGAUAUUGAUAUUAUUUGUUAUGCUUAAAUUAGUUCUUACAAAUUAUUGAGUUGCUAGAGGCAUUGAUAUGCUAGUUAAUAGUCAGUGGUAUUUUCUAAAAAAGUAUUUUUUUCACUCAUCAAUCAAACACUAGAAAAUAUUUUUCUAAAAAAUAUUUUCUACUCACCAACCAAACACCAUAAAAUAUUUUUCACUCACUAACCAAACAUGAGAAAAUAAGUAAAAACCCAACUUAUUUUCUAGCAUAAAAAAUAUUUUCCAUCGUACCAAACACACCCAUAGUUAGCAUCAAUGUUUCUGUUAAAUAAAAUGAUGCCUUGAAAAGUAUAUGGAUUUAAGAGGUCAGAUGAUUGGGUGUGGUAUCACAAUAUAGUUUGGAAGUAACCUACAAGUGCUUGAAUAAUAUAGUUGACCAAUAACUGUUUUCUUUUUUAAGUAGAUAUACCAUCUGUUUUUUUUUUUUUUUCUUGAUAAGCAAGUAAUCAUUAACUUGACUGGCAAAGUUGAUUAGCAUGUCAAUGUGUAGACUCCAAAAUUACGGUAAACCAUGGAAAUAUGUUUAUAGAAUUUUCAAAACUAGAAUUGUCUAUGCCUUGCUAUACACAUUGCUAAAGUUGUCACUAUCUCCUUUUCAAUUUUCUUACACUUGUUCAUUAUUUUUUUCUCCCUUAGUCAAUCUAGUCCUCUCUCCGUUUAAUAACAGUUAUCUACUAUUGACUUGAUACACAUAAAGAAUAAAUAAUAGAAGUGAUUUUAUUAUAUUGCUCUUUGACUACAUUUCAUUUCAUGUUUUAAAAAUUGCAUCAGGUAAUCAAUAAUCUUUAAUGGUAGAGGUAAACCAUGUAAAAAAAAAAACAUAAUAAAUUAUUCAUUAAGUUGUUAAUCUGUUCAAACUGCACAAAUAUUAUUGAAUAUUUAUAGGGAGUACUAACAAAAUAUCACCAUCCUUUUCGUAAAAAGAUAUUAUUACAUUGUCUCAAUUUUUUAUCCACCAUAGAAUUUAUAAGCAUUAAUUAGAAAGAAAUUGAUGAGUAUCACCCGUAAGAAUGGAUGAGUUGGUAAAAUCGAUGGUAUUUCAUAAGAAAAUUUUGGAUUGAUUUUUCCUCCAAGGCUGUUUCAAUAAUGUUUGUCGCACCAAAUCAUAUGUACACCCCUAAUUACAAGUUAGAGCAUAAAAGUGGAUCUAUCCGACUACUAUAUAUCCUUUUGUGUGUAUUUGAGCUAUUAUACGUGAUUGAGUUUAUCCAGUGCACACUCAAAAAAUAACAACUACAUAUUCUGUUAUAUAAAAGUGCAGGAGAAGCAUGUGGACCUCGUCCUGCCAGUUUUCACCUGCUCUCUUAUAAUUUAUUAUUUUUUUCUUUUUAUUUUAUUUGUUUUAUUUUAUGAUAAAUAUGUAUUUAAAAAUUACACAAAAUUAUUUUAAAUUACAAUAAUUAACGGCUUAAAUAUAUAUCUAAAAAUUGGUUGACUCUCGAAAUUCUAUCAAUGCUACAUAAAUUGUAAUAGACAAAGUAACAUAUAUUGUUUAAAAAUGACGUAAAAAAUAUUAUAAAUUACAAUAACUAAUAACCUAAAAUAUUUAAUGAAAGAUAAAAAUUUUGAUUUACUCUCCAAAUGCUAUCACAGUUACAUAAGACAGAGAAAGUAACAUAUAUUAUUUGAAAAUCAAUUAGUAGAAAGUAUUAUAAAUCUCAAUAUUAGCAACUAAAAAUAUGUGUGAAAAGUAUAUAUAAAAAGUUCAAUUGACUCUCUUAAUUUCAUUAGUGUCACAUAGAUUAAGACAAGGAGAGUAACAUAUAUUAUCUGAAGGUUAUGUCAAACUAUUAUAAAUCACAAUAAUUAAUAGCUUAAAAUAUUUAAAAUUAUAUAAAAAUCUUAAAACUAUAUAAUAAUGAUUGACUCUCCAGAUUUUAUCAAUGUCACAUAAGUUGAAACAUCGAGAAUAACAUAUAUUAUUUAAAAUCUAUAAGAAAAAAAUAUUAUGUAUCAUUUUAAUUAAUAACUUAAAAUAUUUAAAAAUCAUAAAAAAGAUUUAAUUAACUUUUGAAAAUUUAUCUGAAUUAUAAAAAAAGUACUCCCUUCAUCUCAUUUUAUGUGUCGCCAUUUUUUUUUAGUUCGUGCCAAAAAGAAUAUUAUCUUUACUUAUUUGACAACUAUUUAAUGACAACACUCCAAUUUUGUCCUUACUGGAUCCCACUUAAUAAGAUAAGACAACUAAAACAUAAAUUUUAAGAGGCACAAUUUUAUAAAUUUUACAAGAUCAUCACUCAUUUUUUAACUUUUUUAGUAAAAGAAUCGUUGAGAUCAUAUGUUGUCUCGUGAAUGGUAGGUACAAAGGCCAAUUAUGAGGAAGUUUAAACACACAGGUAACUAGGAAAAUAGUCAUGAGGAAAAGAAUUUCCUAAGCUAAAGCCCACCUCGCUGGCCCAUCUACCCUAUCUAGUUAUUACAUAUACCCAAGGGGCCGUUUGGUUUGCAAAUAAUUUCGAAAUAAAAUUUUUUAUCCGUCAUUUGAUUGUAAAUAUUUAGAAUAACUUAUUUCAAGAAUAAUAAUUAAUCCCAAAAUAAGUUAUCCACUCAAAUGGUAGGAUAACUAUCCCGGAAUUAUUUUUCUUUGGUAUAAAAUUAUACAAGGACAAAACUAUCCUCCUGGGAUUGUUAUAUAUAAUUAAAUAUAAUUAAUAUAAUAUCUUAUAAUAUUAACAUAAUAUAUAUAUAAUUAAACAUAAUUAACGUAUAUAUAUUCAUAAUAAUAUACGUUAUAUAUUACGUAAUUACGUUAUACAUAUAUAACAACCAAACGUAUAAUAUUAUGAAUAUAUAUAUGUUAAUUAUGUUUAAUUAUAUAUAUAUUAUGUUAAUAAAUUUAAUUAUAAUAUAUUAUGUUAAAUUAUGUUUAAUUAUAUAUAAUUUAAUUAUAUAUAACAUAACAUAUAACAUAAUAUAUUCUCACACACACAUAAAUUAUGUUUAAUUAAUGUAUACUAUAUUCAUAAAUAAAUAAAUUUUGAACAGUUUACCGUUCAAAAUGGUUGUAAAAUAUAUAAAUUAUGUUUAUUUAUAUAUUUUAAUUUCUCUAAAAAAUAAAAAUAAAAUUAUAAUGAAUAUUUAAAGUUUAAAAGGAAAUAUAAAUAUAAAAAAUGUUAAAUAAGAUGGAGGGUAUUUUGGUAAUCAAUCAAUUUAUUCCUAGAAAUUAUACCAUACAUAUUACUUUGAAUAUAACAAACCAAAUACUCAAUAAAAGUUAAUCCCAGCAUAACUAAUCCCACUAUAACUUAUCUCAUCACAACUUAUCCCAGCAUAACUAAUCCUGGUAUAACUUGUUUUCAAACCAAACGACCCCUAAGAUAAGGAUUUUCUAAACAUACUCCCAUUUCCCCGUCCUCAACACCUGAACAGUGAUGUUGCCGCCUCUCUUCAAUCUUGAUUUUCUUCUUCUUCUGCUCAUUUGGGUUAUUAAUGGUCUUGCACUCCAAGUUGGUGAUUCUUGAAUAUCAAUUUUCAAGAGUGAGUAUUAUUCUCUACUCUUUCUUGUUUUUCAUUUGAUCCAACGAUCUGUUUUUUUUUUCUCAGUUGUGCUAUUCGAUGGGUGGAUUUGUUCUUUCUUUUUGCUGAAGGUCCCGUCUUAGAUGGUGUUGUGCUCUAUUGGGUAAGUACUUAGCUUUUCAUUUUUACUCAUUCCUAAGCAGAUUUUGAUCCCUCUUUUCUUGUAGGUGGAUUCGUGAUUGAGUGCAUGGGAAGCUCAGUACUUCCACCCUAUAAUGGACAAAACAUUUCCAAGUUUAUCGUUCCUAAUUCAGUCCUGGACUUUUUCAUUUUGCCGUGUCUUUUUUGAUGAUUGAAGUAGUGUAUGCUAGCAUUUUAUUUAUUUUUGUAGCCUUUCUGUUGAUGUAAAUAAUAUUUAAGUGGAAAAAUUUGUGUUGUAUCCUUUUCUGACCCUUAUUUCUUCAUAGGUUAUACUUUCAGAUACGGGCUCUUUAGCUUGUCACUGUUGAUAAUGUGCUUUCCUAUUGCUUUCAUAUUGUUAACAUGAACAAAACUGCAGUCCCCUUUAUCUAUUGCUAGAUUUGCUAAGUAAUCUGCUAGUUUGUUGCCCUCCAUCAUAAUGUGCUAAAAUUUUAUUUUAUUUUUGGCAAGGUUGACUUUAAUCUCCGUUGUCAUGUUUGUGAUGCUCCAUAGACAUACUCGGUCACCUUCUAAGAUCCUUUUAAGCAACAUGAAAUCUGUUUGUAUGAAGACUCUAGUGUACUAUGUUAAUUUGCAAUGUUUACUGGCUGCUAAGAUGGUUAUUGCUUCACUAUUGUAUUUGUAUUAUCUUUUAGUGUAGUUUUCCAAGCAUAUAAUAGAUUACCAUUUUCACCCCUUAGGCAGAAUGCAUAAGAGGCCAUUCUAGGAUUUCCUCUUGAUGGACCGUCAGUAUUAUAUUUGACCCAAUCUACAGGUAGAAAUUCCCAAAUAACUUAGAGAAUCUUCACUUGUGAUUUGAAUUCUUCUAGUUCUGUAAGUAUUCCUGACCAAUUUCCUGAGAAUUUCAAUGAGGUCUUCUUAUUCUGAGUAGCAUGUGCAAAUUUCUAAUCAUAUUAUGUAUAACCCUUUGAACUGUUAUUUUUUCCUUCAUGCUUAUUGAGAUUUCUGUGUUUCUACAAUUUUCGUACUAUAAUGCUUGGAAUAGCCUUAUAGUAAGAUUUUAUAUCAUUCUUUACUCCAACUUUUCACCAUAACAUAAUCACUUUUCUUACACAAAGUCCUUCAAUUUAUAAUCCUGUAAAAGAACAAAAGUAGGACCAAGUCCUGUUAGCAAUAAUAUAUCUUAAGAACAGAUGUAAUUGUCUCUUAAUUUAGAUUUAUAUAACACUAACAUCUAGAAGGUGUGACACCCCAACUUAGGAAGAAAUCCCAUAUCGACAAAACACAGGAAAGAGUUCCAUAUAGGCAAAACGCUGGAGGGAUGUUGGGUAUAUAAGUUAGCAAGCCUUACUCCCUAGUGACACAUUUUAAAAUCGUACGGGCCUGACCCAAAGCGGACAAUAUCACUAGUGGAUUGGGGAGUUACAGGGAUAUCUCGAGCCUCCGUGGGUUGGGAUGCCCGUCGUGGUCAGGGCCCCGGCUCGGAUUGUGACAGAAUGGUAUCAGAGUCGUUCCUGUAUCAGCCUUGUCGAUAUGGAUCAGAGUUCAAACUGAGUGUAAGCAAAUCCCGGUAAGGCAGGGCAAACCUCAGUCCUGAGUCUAGGCAAAUUUCAUUAUGUGGGGGCAAACCUCAACGAGGAGUUGAGUCCAUAAGGGGAGUGUAUGUGACACCCCAACUUAGGAAGGAGUCUCAUAUCGGCAAAACACAGGAGCGAUGUUGGGUAUAUAAGUAAACAAGUCUUACUCCCUAGUGCCGCAUUUUAAAUUCGUACGGGCCUGGGUCCAAAGCGGACAAUAUCACUAGUGGGUUGGGGAGUUACAGGGCUAUCUCAGACCUUCGUGGGUCGGAAUGUCCGUCGCGGCCAGGGCCCCGGCUCGAGUCACGACAGAAGGUCCCUCAACACCCCAUUCUAAUUUUUUCAUCCACUUGUAUUAUAAACUUUCAUAACCUCCACAUAAAGAAAAACAUUUUGAAUGAUAAUUCUUUGACCCAUAUUCAUUUAUACACCUUGUUAGGAUUUUCUUUGUACCUAUGUACUAUCAAGCUGUUUUAGCUGCGAAAUUUUCAUUUGUGCUCAACAUCAAAUAAGAUCUAUCAUUCUCUCUUUCUGGAUUGGGUUUUUUUCAUUCUUCAAAAUAUGUGUUACCACCUCAUUACUGAAUACAUCUACAUACUCAGAUAAUAAAUUUAUCAUUUUUUUAUGAAUCUAGUAAGUUAGUAUGUGUUUAUGAUACAUGUGAAUAUCUAUGCAUACAACUAUAUUAUUCUUGAUAAAGUCCAUCAGUUUUUAUCAAAAUGAAUUAAUUUAUCAAUCACAAGUAUCAAGUAUAUGUGCAUCAGGCAUAUGUAUGAGAUAAACGUAUUUAAACAUAUCAAGAACUUAAGUUUCCUUUCCACAAUUUAAGAAUGAUACAUAUGUUUGAAGUCUAAUAUAAGGGAUAUAUGUAUCAUACAUAAGUAUCAGAUAAAAUCAGUAAUACAUAUGUAUCAAUAUAUAUAUAUAUAUAUGAUAUGAUCUAAUGAAAAGUUUUAAAUUUUAAUUUUGCUUCUAUUUUAGCUAUUUUGGAGAUUCUCUCCCAUGUUUCACUCUACUAAAUAAUUGUAAUUCUGUUACUUCCUUAUUUAACUACAUGAUUGAUUUAAAAUGUAUCAAAAAUGAUAUGUGUCAGGACUUAAAUAUGUAUUACAAAAAUGAGAUUUAUGAAAUUUUAUGUAAUUAAGCAAAAUUAUAAUUAAAAAAUGUUAGUAAACAUAUGAAAUUUGUGUAAGUUACCCGUUAAAAUAAAACAUAAAAUGAGUAUUAUAAAAUUAACCGGGAUUGGAAACUUAAUUAGUGCUUCCAUUAUUUCAAUUUGUUUAUGUUGCUUUUUUCAGUCAAUAUUUUAAUUCUAAUUUUUAUAUGACAUGUUUAAGAUUAUAAAUUUUAAAAUUAUUUUAAUACAGUCAACAUAUCCUUAAAGACAAUAAAAUUUCAAAAUCUAGUUUGCUUUUUGGGAUCCGUUUGGACAUGUGAUAUGGAAUCAUUUGAUAUGAAAUUAAAAUUUUGUUUGGACAUGCUAUUUGAAAUUGUUUGAAUUGUAUUUUUUUUUUUCCUAUAAACAUGAGGACCGCAUAAGUUCUUAUAAUUCUUAAAAUUUCCUCAAGUCUUAUGAAAUGUUAUCAAAUGAGCAAACCACAAUUCAUAUAUAAGAUAUCGUAAUAUUCUAAGAUGUUGCAUUAGUAAAUUGCAAAUCUCCAUGCUUCUUUAUAAACAGGAAAUUACAUGAUAUAGCCCCAAUAGUGGGUGACUUUGGAUUUUUGACCCCAAAUAAGAAAAGUCUUUAAAGACUAGCCUUCUUUCCCUUUUUAGUAUAGUACAAGUACAAUUUUUGCCUUCUACACCUCAAAGAUUUUUAAACUUUUCAUAUUCAUUUGUCUCUCAAGUUCUAUUUUUAUUUUUAUUAUUUUUACUUUUUUAUUUUUUCCUUUAAUUUUAUUUUCAUGUUUUAAUUUAUUUGUCUCAGCCUUUAUUUUUUUCUCAAACGUUAUCUAUUUCUUCAUUUUUUUAUUUUCUUUUUUUAUUCAUUUGUCUCAACCUUUAUUUUUCUUUUAUUUUGGAUUUUUAUCAUUUCUUUUUUUUCCUCAUUUUUCUCAAACUGUAUUUUUAUUUUUUCCUCUCAUUUUUAUUUUUCUCAAUUUUUCUUAUUCUUCACUUUUUUCUUAAUCUUUAUUCUUUUCUUGUCCUUUUUUUUUUCUCAAUCUUUUUUUAUUUCUCUAUUUUGUUUGAUCGUUUUAUUCCUUUUUUCUCAACUUCUAUUAUAUUUUGUUAGUAAAUAAAAAUUUGAAUAAUCCGCAAAGGGAUCUUCUUUUUGACAUCAAAGCAAAUUUAAGGGCAUUAAUUGUUGUUAGAAAGUUCUUUGGGAUAAAUUUUGCCUCUAAGACAAAAAUUAUAGACAAACUCAUAAAUCAAUGCACAAUGUGGUAGUGUCAAGUCUUGUCUGUGGAGCAUAACUUGUUGUUUGAAAAUCCUUGAGUUAAAUCUUGCUUCUAAGACAAAAGUUAUAGAACAUCUCAUAAAUCCAAAAAUGAUGUGGUAGUGUUAGCACUUGUUCAUUGGGCGUAACUUGUUCUUUUGGGAGGUUCUUGGGCUAAGUUUUGUCUUAGAGGCAAGACUAAAGAGCAUCACAUAAAUCAAGACACAAUAUGAUAGUGUCAAUUUUUGUCCACGGGGUCUAACUUGUCAGCCAAGUCUUGCCUCUAAGGCAAGAGUUCUAGAAUAUCUCAUAAAUCAAUACACGAUGUGGUAGUAUCAACUCUAGCCCAUGGACCAUGGGGCGUAGCUUGUUGUUUGAAAGUCAUUGAACUAAUUCGAGCCUCUAAUGCAAGAGUUAUAGAGCAUUUCACAAAUCAAGACACAAUGUGGUAGUAUCAACACUUAUCCAUGGGACAUAUCUAACUUGUUGUUUAAAAGUCCUUGAUUUAUAAAACAUCUCAUAAAUCAAGACACAGUACAGUAGUGUCAACUCUUGUCUGUGGAGCGUAAUAAAACUCCUUAGCCUAAGUCUUAUCUCUAAAGUAAGAGUUAUAGAACAUCUCAUAAAUCAAAACAUAAUGUGAGUGUCAACUCUUACCCAUGGGACAUAACUUUUUAUUUGAAAGUCCAUAGUUAAGUCUUGCCUCUAAGACAAGAGUUAUAAAAUAUCUCAUAAAUCAAAUAUAAUAUGGUAAUGUCUACUCUUGCUCAUGGGGCAUAACUUGUUACUUGAAAGUCCUUGGUCUAAGUCUUGCCUCUAAGGAAAGAGUUAUAAAACAUCUUAUAAAUCAAUACAUGGUAUGGUGGUGUCAACUCUUGUCCGUGGGGCAUAACUUAUUGUUUGAUGGUCCUUAGACUGAGUCUUACCUCUAAGACAAGAGUUAUAGGACAUUUCAUACAUAAAAAACACAAUGUGUUAGUAUUGACUUUUGCCCAAUAUAUGUAACUUGUUUAAAAAUUCUUGGGACAAGUCGUGUCUCUAAGGCGAGAGUUGUAGAGCAUCUCAUAAAUAAAGACAUAAUGUGAUAGUGUCAACUCUUGCCCAUGAAAUAUAACUUGUUGUUUAGAAGUCAUAAGUCUUGUCUCUACAAUGUGGUAUUGUCAACUCUUACCCAUGAAACGUAGCUUGUUGUUUGAAAGUUAUAAGUCUUGCUUUUAUAAUGUGAUAGUGUCAACUCUUGUUCAUGAAAUGUAACUUGAAUGAAAGAAAUCGAAGGAAAGUAUAAAAAUAAUAAAAAUUGCGAAAAAAAGAAGAAAUGAAGAAAAAUAUUAAAAAAAAAAUCAAAGAAAAUGUAGAAGUGAAGAGAGAAUGUGAAAAAAAAAUAAAAGUUGAUAACAAUAAAAAAAAGAUUAAAUAAAAUAAAGGUCGAAAAAUAAAGAAAAGAAAAAAUAAAAAUCAAAGGUUUUUUUUUUUUUAUAAAAGUAGACGUUGAGAGGUGUAAAGGAAAAAAAAGUAAAGGUUGGAGAAAAACUAAAAAGAAAAAAAAAGAGGAAAGAAAAAUAAAAAAUCAAAGUAAAAUAAAAAGGAAAAAAGGUAAGGGUCGAGAAAAAAAAAUCAAAGUAAAAUUAAAAGGAAAAAAAAAUAAAAGUUGAAAGAUAUAAAUAUAGAGUUGUUAUCCAUUAUGAGGAUCAUUUAUGUAAUUUACAUCAUUGGUCAGAGAUAAUUUCGUCCAAAAAAAAUAUUAGAUAAUAGGUAAAGGUUAUUUUAAGAAUUUUUUUUUAUUUGGGACUAAAAUUUGAAAGUCACCGCUAAUUUGGCUCUAUUCUUGAGAUUUACCCCUUUAUAAAUAAAUGUUUGAGAUUACAAAAUUUUAAUUACACAUAAUUUAGGCAAAAUGACUCGAUGGAUCCUUUUAUUAUGUCCAAUUUAUAGUGUAGAUACUCUUACUUAUAUAUUUGUCAUCUUAUCCUUGAACCCUCUAAAAAGUAACAUUUUAAACCUUUUUACAGUGUGUGAAUAAUCCUAUUUAUAUAUUUGUCAUCUUGCCUUUAAACCCACUAAAAAAUAACAUUUUAAACCCUUUUGUGGUGUGUGUAGCACGCUUGCUGCCAUAUCAGCUUCUACAUAAAUUUCACGUCAUUUUUUAAUUAAAGAUAGAAAAUAUUUUUUUAAAAAAAAAAUACUCCCCCCCUCCCCCUCUCUCUGCCCCCACCCAUUAGUUUUUGUUUUUCUUUUUUCUUGAUUUCUUCUUAAUUAUUAGAUCAUGAAGGAGUUGUUUGUGUUUUCUUUCUUGUAGAAAUUGGGUUUGUUGAUUUGAGAUAAAGACUUAAGAAGCAAUUUCUCCAUGUGAUGUGUAGUUGAGCUGAAUUGGACAGCCAGGAGAAAAAACAAAAGGAAACGGAAGGAAUUUUGUUCCACACGAAUGUGCACAGUUUGAUCCAAGAACUAUAUUUGAUGAAAAAAUGAAUAUAAACAAAUAUAGAAUUGUUCUAAAAUGGAGAGGUGAAGUCACUUUUUGGGUACAUGUGAACAAGGGAAAAUUAAUGGUGGUAGGGGGCGUUGAUGGUGGCCAUGACUAUUGUUGAGGGGGGUUGNNNNNNNNNNNNNNNNNNNNNNNNNNNNNNNNNNNNNNNNNNNNNNNNNNNNNNNNNNNNNNNNNNNNNNNNNNNNNNNNNNNNNNNNNNNNNNNNNNNNNNNNNNNNNNNNNNNNNNNNNNNNNNNNNNNNNNNNNNNNNNNNNNNNNNNNNNNNNNNNNNNNNNNNNNNNNNNNNNNNNNNNNNNNNNNNNNNNNNNNNNNNUGGGGGACCUUUUUUUAAAUAUUUUUAAAUUAUUUUAAUAUAAAAUUAACCCCACUCGCAUUCAUAGUGUGUUUCGUGCUAAUCGGCCAUUUUAAUGUUACAUAGGUUUGAUCAAUGGUCAAAGGGUUUAAAAUAUCUAAAAAUUACAUAACUACACAACUCAUGUUUUCAAUAUUAUAAAAAAAAUCCCAACUCCUAAACAUAUUACAAAAAUUUCACAUAUACACAGAAUGCUAUGUAUAUGUCGGCUGUGUUAUGUAUAUUAAUAGAAAAAGAGAGUAAAGUAAUUUAAAAAGUGAGAGAUAGUGUAAUUACUAUUAAAAGGUUGGUAUUUAUGUUAUUUAUACUUAAAAUAUUAUUUUUUAGCAUGUUCAAGGGUCUAGAUGACAAACAUAUAAGUAGGAGUAUCCACAUUACAAAUCGGACAUAGUACAAGGGUCCAUCGAGCCAUUUUGGUACAAGGUUCCAUUGAGUCAUUUUGCCCAUAAUUUACGAAGAUCAAUUAAUCAGCAAUAACAAUACCUAAUUAUUCUUUAAAAUAUUUCUUUUACAUGAAACAGACGAGUUGUUUGGGCCAAACAUGAUAUUUCAUCUCUGGAGGCAAAUUUGAUCUCAUGAUUCAUGUCCAAACGGUUGCUUAAACUUGGUAUCAAAGUAAAAAAUUGGACAAAGAAGAUUGAAAGGGAGUGUGUAUUUUAUUAGCAUAUCUAUACGGAGGAGCUCCCCAUGGUUUUCCUUGCCAAGCAGGUUGCUUUCAGUAGGAAUCCGACUUGUCCAAUUUUAAGGCUUCUCAUUUGAACCUUCAUUUUUAAGCAUCUAAAAUAUAUUCCUAGUAAAAUUUUGAAACGGAAUAAGGACACAUGGAGAUUGUCCAUAUAUGAUAUAAAAAUAGUAUAUUAAAGAAAUAAUUAUUUUUGUUAGUAUUGUUGAUUUAUGAUUUUUUUUUUUAAUUAUAUCUAACUGAAAGUUUUUAAUGAUAAAUAUUUAUUUAUGAAAAAGAGAACAUUUAAAACUUUUCCUGAACUUGUGUCAAAAUUCAAAAUUAGACUGUAAAAAAUCUUAAAUAAUGACUUAAUUGAUACAAAAUAAAAAUACAAAAUUAAUGACUUUUCUUACAGCGACCUUUUAACAUAUGACAAUAACACGAAAUUUAAGAAUUUUCGUUAUUUGUUUAAACUUGGUGUCAAAGUCAAAACUGACAACAAAAUUGAAGGAGAGAGUAUUUUAUUAACUGGCAUAUCUAUACGCAGGACCUUACCGUAUUUUUCCUUGCUACGUGGGUUGCUUUCAAUAGCUACAGCGCUAUUGAACCUUCAAUUUUUAAAGCAUUUAAACUAUAUAUAUAUAUGUACUCCUAGCAAUUAAUUUCUGGACAAAGUGAGAGUUAAACAAAGAAGUAAUUUGGAGAAAAAUCAAAAUUAUGUCUAUGGAGGAGCCGCUGGUGGAGAAAGAAGAUGUGGCGGUGACAAGGAAAGUGUUUGUUGAUGAGCUGAAAGAGGCGAGUCACAUAGCUAUACCAAUGAUAAUAGUUACAGUAUCACAGUACCUUUUACGUGUUUCGCCAAUGAUAAUGUUGGGUCACUUAGGUGAACUUUCACUUUCUAGUGCUUCUAUUGCUACUUCACUUUCCAAUGUUACUGGUUACAGUCUUCUCGUAAGUCUCCUUAACAUUAUGUUUCUCUUGCACUAAUCAUUGAUCUAGGUGUUGCAUGACCGAAAGGUCAAAUUUUAGUAUGAAUUUUGGUAACAUAGUCAAUAGUUGCUUAAACAUAUAUUGAGUAAAAGUAGCAAUAACCAGAAACAUUAGUAUUCAGGUUUAGAACGGCCUCCUAUCUAUCCGUCCUCAAGCCAAUGAUAAUCUUCUUUUAUUAUGUUAAUUCCCUUAUAAUCUAGUAGACUUGAGAUAUUUUCUGGCUAACUAAAGAGAGGAGCAGUUUUGAAGGCAUUAGUUGCAGAUAUCUUUGAUAUUCUUACUUCAUUCAGGUCUUAUCUAUUGACAACUAUAUUUUAUGUAAAGAAGAUGUUGCUUGACAUAUUCAUUGUGUUGAGUUUAUUACUAGCACACUUGACUUUCUUUAUUCGAAACCAUUUUUCUUGGUGUUAAUUCUGUUCCGGGGAUCAGUAAGAAAUCCAUUCUUGUUCCAAAUGCUAGAGGUGUGGCAAUGGUUUUGUAGUGACUGUAAACUGGAUGGAGGAACUCUGUUGUGGCUGUCUUCUCUGGCAAAUGAGAGUUUGCUCAGAUGGUUUGACUGACUUAGUUUACGAUUAAGGAAAGGGGAAAUUUGUGAAAUCGGUCUUAGUACCCCAUGGCUAAUUGCCUAUAAAAAAAGAAAAAAGGAAGGAACUUGUUAGCACUAAUGACUUGUUUGCAUACCUUUUUUAUCCUUUAUAUAAAUGAAGAAUGUCUAUGAAGAAGCAUUGGAUUUAAUUUUGUGGAACAGUUUGGAAUGUCUAGUGCGCUGGAGACUCUAUGUGGGCAGGCUUAUGGAGCAGGACAAUAUCGAAAACUUGGAACUUAUACUUACAGUGCUAUUAUUUGUCUAUUUCUGGUGUGCAUACCAGUCUCUGUUCUGUGGAUCUUCACAGAUAAACUUCUUAUAUUAAUGGGUCAAGAUCCUUCAAUAGCAGCUGAAGCUGGAAAAUAUGCAAUUUGGCUCAUUCCUACACUAUUUCCAUAUGCUAUUCUUCAGUCACUUGUCCGGUAUCUGCAGGCACAAAGUAUAAUCCUACCAAUGCUUAUAAAUGCAGUUGCAUCUUUAUGCUUCCAAGUGACAGUUUGCUGGGCUUUUAUAUUCAAAUUGAAUUUAGGAAGCACCGGAGCAGCGCUGUCAAUUGGUUUAUCCUAUUGGUUGAAUGUGAUCUUGCUUAUGUUUUAUGUGAAGUACUCAUCGGCUUGUGAAAAGACUCGAGCUUCAUUCUCUAGGGAUGUUUUCCUGACUAUAGGGGACUUUUUCCGCUUUGCGAUCCCGUCUGCUGUAAUGGUUUGGUAAUCUCAAUAGCAAAACAUACAUAUAUUUUUGUCAUUUGAGUUUAACCAUGAUUCUUGUCUUUUGAUCGUUAAUGUAUUACUUCAACUUUUUUUACGAACAUGGAUAUAGCUUGGAAUGGUGGUCAUUUGAGAUAAUCAUUCUUCUCUCCGGUCUGUUGCCAAAUCCGAUGUUAGAAACUUCUGUUCUAUCCAUAUGGUAUGCUUCCUUUUCUAUGUGAACUUUGUUCUUUUUUUCCCUUUGAUGUUUGAAAUAACUAUACACUGAUGCGUUGUCAUGGUCUAAUCUCUUGGAGAGCAGCUUUACAACCACUUCUGUGCACUACCAUGUACCUUAUUCUUUUGGUGCUGCAGCAAGGUUUGCUCGUCCUUCCAACUUAACAUUUAUCUGAUAUCGUUGGUUGCAUAGAGUUAAACAUGCGAAAUUUAAGUAAUUAAUAUUGUACGUAGUACUCGGGUUUCAAAUGAGCUUGGAGCUGGGAGGCCACAGGCGGCAAAAAUUGCCCUUGCUGCUGUGAUAGUUCUUUCUGCCACAGAGGUUGUUCUUGCAAGUAUAACUCUAUUUGCAGUUCGCCAUGUAUGGGGCUCUGCGUUUACUUAUGAGAAAGAAGUAGUGACUUAUGUUGCAGAAAUUACUCCUAUUCUUUGUAUAUCAAUCAUCAUGGACGGCACCCAAGCAGUACUAUCAGGUUAUCUUUUUGUCCUCAUUAGCUUUAUUUGCAUAUUGCGAAUUAUAUCGAGACUAAAAGAGUUGUUCCAACUUCUAAAUUUUGAAAUACGAAAAGUGAAAUUGAUAAACGAGAAAACAAGAGUCAUCUUCUCAUGCCUUUUAAGUGUUGCUUCCUCAUUGCAUCAGGAGGAGAUCGGCAGACUUGUAAUGUAUUGGACGGGGUACCCUAGUUCUUUAUUUAGAUCAUAGAUAUAUAAAUGUGAAAGCGCUGAGAACUAGUACAAAUUUAUUAUGUUUUGAACCAAUAUUUUUCAAGAAUUUAAAUCCUGAAUCUGCCUUUGAUCAGGAGUUGCUAGAGGAAGUGGGUGGCAACAUAUUGGAGCCUAUGUGAACCUUGGAGCAUAUUAUUUGGUCGGAAUUCCUGCAGCUCUAUUACUUGGAUUUGUCUUGCAUCUAAACGGCAAGGGCCUUUGGAGUGGAUUGGUGGCUGGAACAAUUGUGCAAUCUAUUUCACUCUCCCUUGUCACAGGCUUCACUAAUUGGGAAAAACAGGUUCACAAUUAUUCAACUCUUACCUUGGUUUGUUACUGGUUGGUUAUUGUAAGUGUCCUGCAUGGGAUGAUAUAAUAGAAAAUUAUGUCGUAUAUAUUCUUGGGCAAUCCUCACAUCAUGCACCCCUUUUAGGGCUGAGUUAAGCCCGAAUAACACUUUCCUUCGAUAUAAAACUACCUUAUGGUUUAUGGGGCUUACCACUGGUGCAAUUGAAUGUUACAGGCCAUUGAAGCAAGAGGCAGAAUUUUUAAUGAAAAGCUUGCUGGCGAAAAUCAGUUCAUUGAAUGACAGGACGUGCAGAUGCUAUGGUAAAAUGAAAUAAAGGUAUAAGUAGCUUUGUUUUAGGGAGGAGCACCCUCAUCAUAGUACCAAUUGGACAAUUUAGAACGUGAUCCUUCUCUCAGGUGUUCAUUUAUUGUUUCGUUUCGUGCAUUAGAUAAACAGAUCAAUUAUUCAAGGAGAGAUUUUUCUGAAUUUAUAUAUAUAUUUUUUUUGCUCUCGGCAGAAUGAGGAAAAUUUUUAGUAGAACGGUUUCAUUGUUGUUAGAUAUGAAAAAACUGAUUGAUUAACUUGAAUCUGCAACUUCCAUUAACUUGCAUUGAUAGUUCUGUUACAUUGUGGAGAAGAAGGAAUGAACCAGAGCUAAGAUAUUUUUGUAUGUUGUUACUGAAGAAGGAUCUCAUCCACGUAUAUAGUGGUUGCACUAAUAACCAAAAUAACUAACUUGCUGUUGCGUCUCUACGCACACACAAGUGUACGUGAUCGUGCAAGUAAUAUAAUGACUUAGACAGUCAGAUAUCGUUCCCUCGAGGAUCAAUAAACUAGAAAUUUAUUCAAUCUUUAGUUCAAGACAAUUGAGUAUUUGGUGUUUGAUUGUAUCAAGAUUAAUAUGCUUUUGUAAAUAAAAUUUAAAUUACUAAACAAGAAAUAAUUUAUGAUGACUAAAGCAAAGUAAGCAACGGUUGUUAUCAAUAAUGAGGGCGAUUCCAGGGUUGAAGUAUUUUGAACAAUCAUACAAUUCUCUAUUCUAUUCACAGUCUAAUUGGUUAUCGGGUUGAUGGUUCGCAAGGUUUAUGCCACAAUCUUAGUCUCCCGACCUUAGAUAUUCUAUCUAUUUAAUGUUGUAACUACAACUCCCGCAGAGUUACAACAAAUCUUCUAGAUUCAUGAAGUUGUCUUCCUACAAGUGAACCAAGCAAGGCUUCUAGGUAUAUCCCUAUCCUAGAUGCUAAUUCAAAUAUUAUAUAAAAGAAAAAGAACCUUACUCCCUAAUUUCUUCGUUCUAUCCUAUGAUUCUCCUCCCGGAUUCACAUAGAAAUAUAAAUUUAUUCUAAUGGUGGCCAAUCAUUAAAAUAAUAAGCUCAAGAAAUUAGGAACAACCCAUAUGAUAAUCCAAAAAGAAACUAUGAAUAGGAAUAUUAAAUAGUACUCAUGUUCUUAGCCUCUAACCCAGAAAGGGUGUGUUUAGCUACUCAUGUACGAAUUAAUCCUCCAAAAUAAGUAACAAAUCAUACCCAAACCAAUCCUUGAAAUAGAAAAAUUCAAAAGAAUAUUUAUCAACCCUAAAAGAGAGAAAUUUCCAUUUUUCCGCCGCUGCUCUGCUUGACAAAAGUCUCCCAUAUUAUCUUGGAUUUUUUCUUUUAUAGUUGGGACAAAAAUACUUAAAAUAUUCCCGAUUUGUCCACCCGACGCGUCGCGCCAUGACUAAGAUUGUUAUUUUCCAUUAAAAUCUGGGAAAUCGCGGAGCUCAAGUAUUCCCCAACAAUUGUAAAAUGCACCCUCACCAUGACACACCACUAUCGCGGUGAGCCACUGGAUUGGGACAAUUGUGAAAUGAUCAUCCUCCACGAUGCGCUAAACCUUCAGGUCACCAAAUCUGAUAAACUAACUUUCUCCGCGACGCGGGGGGUUUCGCGAACCUUCACUGGAAUUCGACCAUUGCUAUUUUGUUGCUCAUCGCGACGCAGAGUGUCUUCAAAUGAGGAUUUCUUCUUCUCAACUUUCCUUUUCCAGCUUAAUUUCAGUCCCUUGCAUUCCUUCACUACUUUCAUAUCCUUGUUGUAUCCAAUUAUGCACAAUUCUUCACUAUUUUGCACCUAAAAGUACUAAUCAUAUCCAUUAGGCACAAGAUGGAAUAAAGUUGAAUUAUACUUAAGAAUUCAUACAAAAGUUCUUAAACUAAGUUCAAAUCUGGGUGCAUAAUGGUACUUUGAGCAUAUAAAUAUGCCCAAGAUCACCACCCCACACUUAAAACAUUGUUCGUCCUCGAACACAUGAAUUCAAAAACAUAAUUCCUUCCUCUUUUCAUCACAACCUCAAAGUUAUGUGGCCAUGAGGACUUACACUUUGCAAUAACGAAUUCUUACAUCAUCUUGUCAAAACAGUUAAGCUCAAGAAACAUUUUAGUACAAAUUCUUCUCUCUUCAAUAAUGAAUUUCUAACAUGUUGGCAAACUCAAUUAAGGAAACACAAUAAGUAAUUUGGCUUUCAUCCUCCUGCAUCCUCACUUAAGGAAACUUCCCCAUAUUUACUCACAAUGGUAACUAUGCAACAAUUGGGGAGUAUCAAAUCAAAUUGCUCACUCUAAAAAAAUUUCGUACAUGCUAGUGAACGAACCAUAAUCUUGCCCUUAGUAUUCUACGCCACUAAUAGUCAGAUGUUUGGGUAAAGGAUCAACUAGGUCUUUUUCGGGUUGUAAUAAAGGCUUAGGGACAGGUAGGUACUAUUUACAGGAAUAGUAACUAUUGCUCCUAAGCGUUUAAAUACAAGAACUAUCAAUUUACUCUAUUUUCCAACACCAAUUUAUCCUUCUAUUUCUCCCCAUAUUUUUAUUUGUCAGCACAUUUUUCAAUUAGCUUUAUUUUCUCACACAAGGUUGGGAAUAUUUAUCAUCUUUUCCAUAUUCUUGUUAUGUACCCCUAUUAUAGCCACCCUUAACUUAAGCUUAUAGGCCUUCAUCAAGGUGCACAUUAUCCAACUGGACCAGGGCCAAAACAGGUUCAUUGUAACAUUUCUAUUUACUAACUCCCACUUAACUCAACAUCAUUAAACAUUAAUAAAAACUACUUUGGGGCAUCACCGAUUACCUUCCUUUCUCAUUUUUUCUCUUAGUCUUAUAUUAAAAACGCUCAGGAGCUUAUUUGGAUCAAAUUACGAUUCAGCAAAGAAGGGGUAAGGUUUCAUAACAGGCUACCAAAGAAAUAGGUUGAAGGCUCAAAGGAGCUGACUAAGAUUAUGCACCAAGGGAGGGCUUUUAAAGUUAAAAACAAGGUUGUCAAAGAUCAAAGAAUUGCCUACGUCACUUCCUGCACCGAACACCCUUUAUUUCGCUUUGUAAACACACCGGACAAGUUCUAGUCAUUUCUAUUCAUGUAGAAUAUAUACGAAUCCUCACACUCACAUUGCAUGUGCGGAAUCAACCAGGUUCCCAAUCAUGUUCUUUAUUAUAUUCAAAAUUAUGCCAACACACCAAAUUUCAUUUAUCGAGAUGGAAUCCUCAGUACUUAAAAUAAAAACUCUUAUGCUAGAAUUAGUUUCAAUUAUUGCAAAGGUGGCCCAUUUCACACACUCCUCUAAAGUAGUGAUUAAGUUCUCCUAAAUUUCUUUACUUCGUACGAUCAAUCCCUUUAAGACGGUCGUCAUCCAUCUAUCAUAGGGGAUGACAACUAACUAUGAUUGUUUAUUCGUAAUUACCAAAGAGGACAAAAGCAAACGUAACUACUUGAAGCUGAAUCUUGCAAAUAAGGGCGAAAAUAACAAUAACAUAAUACUUUCAACCGAAACGAUAUGUGAUAAAUGCCACAGAGGGCAAAUUGCAAUCCACAAAAUAAAAGUUACUAACUAUUACAGACCAAUGUUCUGAAUAGCUAAUACUUCAAACCAACACAGCAAAACAGAAAAAUAAAAUAGAAAAAUAACAUUGUUCAGUCAAAUAACAGAAAAAUGCAAGAGAAUAAGAACCCACCACCCCACACUUAAAAUAAAGCACUGUCCCAGUGCUUCCAAUUAAGAUUAUGGUAGGGUGGCAGUGGCAGUAUACUUCCUGAUCAAUCAAAAGGGACUAUAGCAGACAUGUUCAUGUCUUCCGCAGCCAUAUCCCCAUCAUCGCCAUCAUCGUCAGCUUCAUCAUCAUCAGAUUGCUCCUCCUCAUUAGACUCCAUGUUGGAAUCCCUAUACCUCUGUUCUUCAUCUGUGGGUAUAUCAUCAUCAACAGGCUCCACAAAAUCUGGGCCAAUCUUCAACAUUGUCCUAGCGUGAUGACUAAGUGGAUAAUCAAGAUCUACAACGUGGAGCUCCUCUAGUGUAGCAGGCCUGCCUCCAGUCCGCGACAUCAUCAUCAUGAGGCCGUACAACCUACCCAGCACCUUAUCAAUCCGUUUCUGUCACUCUAUCAUCGUCAAAAUUGGGCUAGAUGCCCUAGCUGUGCUUCGAGCAGUAGUGAUAUCCAGAGGACGAGUGAUCACCUUAGGUUUAUAAUCAAGCUCCUCUUCAUCCACCUUAAGCUUUCUUAAAAAUCUAGUUACCAAAGCACCAAAGCCAAAGCUACACCCACCUGGGUACGUGCUUUUUUCAUAGCAGAAAAAAUGACACUUCCCACAUUAAUCUCCACAUCAGCACACAUAAGGACGUAAAUCAAACACACCCUAUCCUGAGUCACCUCAGUCAUAUGCUUGCCUUGUAUCGAGCAUGAAUACACUAUUCGUCUCCAUAUUCCUGCUUCCUUAUUCAUUUGAGAGUAGGGGAAAGAAGAGUACAAACUUGUAACUCGAUGCCUCGUCCAACAGGCUGAAGAUCGCUGGCCACACAACAAAUGCCUGAUGUGUGCAUAAGGAGGAGAAACAAUAAACUGUCGGAAGUAAUUUGGGUUCAUCCUGGGGAUACCCAGCAACUCGUUAAUAUCAGCAGUGGUGAAUCGAAUCACCUUCCCUCAAACCUUCAAUAAAUGUUCAGGAUGGUUGGGGUCCCAAUUUGCAUAAAAUUCUCUGACAAGAUGCAGGUUGCACUCCGUUGGCUGAUGAAAAAUGAAAUUCAUAUUAAGCACCUCAAUUCGCCGGACCAUAAAAGGACACUCUUUUAUCAAGCUGGCCCGAUCGAUAUAGACCUCUGGAAUAUACUUAGCAUCAGUAUGCUUAGUAUACACUGCUUUCCAGCCUUCCUUACAACAUUGAAACCUAAUUUUCGAACUUUCCCCCGCUGAAAUGGAGGGGCCGUAGGCACUCUAGUUAAUUGCCCUUCAGACGGUCGACUUCUCUUCCUUAAAGGGGCAGAAGGCCUUGCCUUUGCCUUGCCCUUACUUGACCAUGCUUCCAUUAUGCCUGCGAUUAAGAAAAUGCAAUAAACUAUGCAAAAAGAUUAAACUUAGGAUUAGCUGAACUGAACAUGCAUUACGAGUGCCUUCGCACCCCACACUUAGUUUGUUAGCCAUACACCUACAUUAACAACCAAGGUACUCAGACUUCCCUUUGCAUAGGCCUAAAUAUCAUAUUCACAGACCAUAUAUUCCUCUUAAAGACACAUCAUCCCUCGUUAUUUUCACAGCACAGAACAUUAUGUAAUCGACACCCAGCUAAUCACACAAUGCAAGACUAUAAAUAAGACCAUGUUACUAUAACAUCACACAUUCUAUAAUUUUAAUCAAUCAGCCAACAUCAGACAACCAGGGUUUUUUCACAAUGGAACAAAAUUUUUCCUAACUUCCUCAAGAUUCUACCCUUACUCCUCUAACUACAAUACCUUUCAUUCCCUAUCCUCUCAAGUAGCAUGAAAAAUCGUUCACUCCCUAAUCCCAAAUGCAAAUAUCAUUCAAGUGUGGUCUCAGUGAUUCAAAGUAAUGAGAAUUAGGCUAAGAUGUCACAAAUUGAACUAAAUAUCAAAAGCAAUGCUAAUAUUUACAACUAGUAGGAGAGGGAAAACAAAAUUAUCAACAAAACACAUUCACUACUCACGAAUUGUAAUAAGAAAGGUAAUAAAUAAAUAAAUAAAUAUGAACUUACCUCAAUAGUUGAGAGAAGAAUGAUAGAAAGUGAAAGAGUUUUUGAAGUUUUUAGGAGAGGGAGUGAGAAGGCAGAACGAUUUGUAAACAAAAGGGUUUAGGGUUGAGGAGGUUAUAUUUAUAGAGGGACGGGUCGGGUUAGGUUAAUGACAUUUUUAUGCCCGAUUUAAUCCCUCUCCGCGAUGCAGAAUAAUCGCAGAUACCUACUGGAUAAGGCCAAUUUCCAUUCAUCUUCACACCACGACGCGCUACAAUUCGCGUCCACACACUGUAAAUUGGCAAUUGUCUAAGUUUUGUGUCACGCUGAAAAUUGUGCACGUCCACUGGAAUUUGACAAUUCUCAAUUUACCUUUCUUCGCGUCGCGGUGAAUUUCGUAUACCCUUACUGGAAUUUGACAAUUGUUAAAUUACCCAGUUCCGCGUCGCGCUGUUCAUCAAACUCAGAUUACUUUUGCAAUUUUCACCAUUUUCUUACCUGAGUAAAUCCCCACUUACACAAAUCAUUUUUGCAAACCUAGUUUCUUUCCUCAAUUGUGGUAAUCUCCUCAUUUCAAAUUGAAAUUCCCUACAAAAAACCCUACACUUAAAAACAAAAACAACAAAAAUUGUAAGUAAAAGUGGGUUGCCUCCCACUCAGCGCCUUAGUUUUGGUCGUGGCACGACUCAUUUUUUUGUAUUUUUCUUUUCUAUUUGAUUUUACAAGACAAAAAUUAAACUACCUAUUACAAAUACAUUUGUGGUUUUCCUCCCACAUAGCGCCUUAGUUUACGUCGGGGCACGACUUAGCUCAUAAUUACUCCUCAGCGAAAGUGAUAGAUUCCUUGUGCUUGUCCAGAUGAUCCGCCCAAUAAUGCUUUACAUGCUGUCCAUUCACAAGGAAAUUCUCCGUUUUCUCUUUAUUCCACAACUCUACAGCUCUAUGGGGUGUCAUUCGCACCACCUCAAAAGGUACAGACCAUUUCGAUCGUAAUUUACCCAGAAACAACUUAAGCCGUGAAUUAAACAAUAACAUAAGUUGUCCGGGUUCAAAUUCCCUAACUUGAAUAUACUUGUCAUGCCAUCGUUUGGUAUUUUCCUUGUAAAACUUGGCAUUUUCAUAGGCGUGGAGUCUAAACUCAUCCAGCUUAUUCAGUUGCAAUAACCUUCGUUCUCUUGCGGCAGUCAUCUCAAAAUUCAACUUCUUCACAGCCCAAUAUGCUCGGUGUUCCAACUCUACAGGAAGGUGACAAGCCUUACCAUACACUAAGCGAUAUGGAGAUAUCCCAAUGGGCAUUUUGUACGCUGUUCGAUAUGCCCAUAGUGCAUCAUCCAACUUCUCCGCCCAAUUUUUUCUCUGCCUAUUCACAGUCUUCUGAAGUAUUUGCUUAAUCUCCCGAUUGGAUACCUCUACUUGUCCACUCGUUUGAGGGUGGUAUGCAGUGGCCACCUUGUGCCGAACACCAUAUUUAGCAAGAAGAUUCUUCAACCAGUUGUUGAUAAAGUGCGUACCCCCAUCACUAAUUAUUGCUCUUGGUGUACCAAAUCUGGAAAAUAUAUUCUUUUUCACAAACUUCAGCACCACUCUUGCAUCAUUAGUCUGACUCGCCAUAACUUCCACCCAUUUAGAGACAUAGUCCACUGCAACAAGAAUGUACACAUUACCUUUUGAAGGUGGGAAGGAGCCUAUGAAAUCAAUCCCCCAAACAUCAAAGACUUCUACUUCUAAAAUAUUAUUCAUGGGCACCUCAUGACGCCUGGUUAUAGUACCCAACCUUUGGCAUUGAUCACAACUCUUUACAAACACCACUGCAUCUCUAAAUAGAGUUUUCCAGAAAAAAACUGAUUGCAACACUUUUCUCGCAGUCCUCUCACCACUAUGAUGUCCACCAUAUGGAGAUAAGUGGCAAUCUUAUAACACCUUGACAAAUUCAGCCUCUGGGACAUACCUACAAAUCACUCCAUCUGGACCUUGGUUGAAAAUGUAUGGUUCAUGCCAAAUGUAAGCACGAGAAUCAUGAAGUAAUUUUUCUCUUUGUUGUGAGGUGAUUUCGGGAGGAUACACCCUACGAACUAUCAGGUUUACAAUGUCAGCAUACCAUGGAAACUCAACUGCUUCUGAUAACAACAACUUCUCAUCAGAAAAGUCUUCCUUGAUACUCUGAAAGUCAUCAACAAUAUGGUCUCUGUUUUUCAGCCGUGACAAGUGAUCUGCAACCUGAUUUUCAUCUCCCUUUCUAUCAUGCACCUCAAGAUUAAAUUCUUGAAGUAGCAGAAUCCACCUAAUUAAUCGUGGAUUUGCAUCCUUUUUGUUCACAAGAUACUUAAUGGCAGCAUGGUCUGUAUGAACAAUGACCUUCGUACCAAUUAAGUAAGAUCGAAACUUAUCAAAUGCAUAUACCACAACCAAUAUUUCUUUCUCUGUCGUUGUGUAGUUCUUGAGCAUCAUUCAGUACCUUGCUAGCAUAGUAAAUCGAUCGAAAUACUUUCUCUUUUGUUUUACCCAACACUGCUCCCACUGCAAUAUAACUAGUAUCACACAUUAGCUCAAAAAGUGACUCCCAAUCUGGUGCGAUCAAAAUAGGUGCUUCCGUCAACUUCUUCUUGAGCUUUUCAAAAGCUUCAUAGUAAUCAGCGAACUCAAACUUGGCUUCUUUCUCUAACAAUUUGCACAUGAAACUUGCGAUCUUUGAGAAAUCUUGAAUGAAUCAUCUAUAAAACCCAGUAUGUCCCAAAAAACUUCGCACGCCUUUGACUGUCACUGGAUGAGGCAAUUUUUCAAUUACUUCAACCUUUGCUUUGUCGACCUCCAGCCCUUUGCAUGACACUUUAUGGCCUAAUACAAUUCCUUUCUUAACCAUAAAAUGACAUUUUUCCUAAUUCAACACCAAGUUUGUUUCUUCGCACCGAGCUAGAAUUUUGUCUAGAUUUUUCAAAUAUUUUUCAAAUAAAUUCCCAUACACAGAGAAAUCAUCCAUGAAUACCACCACAAAUUCCUCCACCAUAUUCGAGAAUAUAGCCAUCAAACACCUUUGAAAUGUGGCAGGUGCAUUACAUAAUCCGAAGGGCAUGCGUCUGAAAGCAUACGUACCGUAUGGAUAAGUAAACGUGGUCUUUUCUUGAUCUUCCGGUGCUAUUCUUAUCUAAUUAUAGCCAGAGUACCCAUCCAGAAAACAAUAAUACUCUUGACCUACCAAUCUAUCCAACAUUUGGUCAAUGAAAAGAAUUGGAUAAUGAUCUUUACGAGUUGCUUCAUUCAACAUCCGGUAAUCUAUACAUAUUCUCCAUCCAGUAACUGUACGUGUGGUAACCAACUCAUUAUCAUCAUUCGUCACCACUGUCAUUCCUCCCUUCUUUGGUACACAAUGCACCGGACUCACCCAUUUGCUAUCAAAAAUUGGGUAGACAAUACCACUGUCUAACCACUUAAUUACCUUUUUUCGGACCACCUCUUUCAUAAUAGGAUUUAACCUCCUUUGUUGCUGCACUCUAGGUCUGUACCCCUUUCCAUGUAAAUAUUGUGCAUGCAAAAUAUUUGAUUGAUUCCUAAAAUAUCAGACAUCUGCCAGCCAAUCGCUUUCCUUAUCCUUUUAAGAAUUGCUACAGCUUCCUUUACCUAUACAUCGGAUAAUCCUGCGGACAAAAUAACAGGCAAGGUAUCUUUAUCACCAAGAAAAAUAUAUUGUAAGUGAGGAGGAAGAACCUUAAGCUCCAAGUUAGGAGCUUCUUCAAUUGAAGGCCUGGGUGGUGGACUAAUUGGUCUAUUCAAAGGCUCGAUCAACACUUUAUUUGCCUUAAUUACAACCAAAUUCAUAAUUUGUACCACUUCCAAUGCUUCUGAAUCCCCAUGCAGAUCAUAAUCUAUUAAUGCUCACUCUAGUGGAUCAUCAGACAAGAGCAACUGCCAAUCUGAAGUAAGAUCAAUAGCCGAUAUUAAGUACAACUCCUCAUAUAUGGCUGGCAAUUUCAAUGCCCUGUACACAUCAAAAACCUCAACUUUAUCGUGUGCUCGCAUUGUCAUUUUUUCAGCUGCCACAUCAUUGAGUAACUGCCCUGUUGCUAAAAAGGGUCGUCCCAAAAUAAAUGGAACAACUGGAUCGGCCUCAAAGUCAAGAAUCACAAAAUCCACAGGAAAAAUUAAAGACCCCACUUGCACCAGUACAUCUUCAAUAAUACCAUCUGGUCUAGCAAGUGACGUGUCUGCUAAUUGCAACACAAUAGUCGUGGAUUUGGGACUUCCACGACCCAUCUUCCGGUACCAUGACGUGGGGAUGAGAUUUAUGCUCGCCCCCAAGUCACACAAUCCCCGUGCACAAAUAGUUUAACCAAGGGUAAUCUGCAAUGUGAAACUCCCUGGAUCCUUCAAUUUCGUGGGCAGUUUAUUUUAAAUUUUAGAAGUACAAUCCUGAGUAAGUGCAACUGUAGCAUAUUCAGUCAACCGAUUCUUAUUGGCAACAAUAUCCUUUAAGUAUUUCGCAUAUUUUGGCACACUCUGUAGAAUGUCAACAGGAGGGAGGUUUACUUUAACUUGCUUUAAAAGAUUUAGAAACUUCUUAAAACUUGCUUCCUCUUGAUGAUUUCUUGCCCUUUGAGGAAAGGUCAAGGGGAGAGUCUUCUUCUCUACACGAAUCUCUUCACUAGCCUUUUUUUCUUUUACUUCCACUUCUACCUUCUUGCAAACUAUCAUCAGUGAUCUCGGGAUUAUCCUGCUCCUGAACUAUCUCCUUCAUUUGUAGCCCACUCCUCGUUGCCACCGCAUUCACUUGUUUAGGAUUAGCCUCAGUGUCACUAGAAAAUGCUCCUUGUGGCCUUGUAUUCUGUGAUCCUGCGAUUUGACCUAACUGCAACUCCAGAUUUCUUGUGAGUAAUUGUUAACUCUUCAAUUCAGCUGCAAACUGUGCCUAUUGAGCCUUCAUGUCCACUGCAAACUGUGCAUGUUGAGCCAUCAACUUCUUAAGCAUCUCCUCCAUAUUACUAUUCGAGGUAGUCAUCUGAUUAUUCUGAACUGAUUGUAGACUUGGUUGCACUGGUCCCUUAUACUGAUUUGUAUUCUGUGCCUGAUUUCCACCCCAUGAGAAAUUAGGGUGUUUCCUCCAAUUUGAAUUAUAUGUAUUGCCAAAAUUUUAUUGACUCUGACGAUUUAUAUUCCCCACGUAGUUGACUGAAUUUGGAUUAACAGAACAUGCAUCUGCUUUAUGCUCAUUGCUUCCACAAACUUCACACCAUGCAUAUACCUGUUGAACUACAUUUAUUGUGGUUGCUGGUUGAGUUGUACCCAACUUUAAGUUGUUAAGUUGAGUAGUCAUAUGGUUCUGCAUUUCUGCAAUCUGUGCUUGUAAAGCAGUAAACUGAUCAACCUCUAAAACCCCUGCAACUUUCUUGGGAGCAUUCCUCGAGUCUGCAUGCCAAUCAGGAUUACUUUGUGCAAUUCGAUUCAGCAAGGUAUAUAAUUCUUCAUAUGUUUUCUCCAAAGCUUGACCCCCUGCUGCUGAAUCUAUGAGAAUUUUUGUAUUAGACUGAAGGCCUUCUAUAAAUGUAUGCACCAAAACAUCAUUCGAUUGAUAGUGAUGAGGACAACUUCUGAGCAUGCCCUUAAAUCUCUCCCAAGCUUGGUAGAGAUUUUCUCCAUCUUUCUGUCUGAAACUCAAUAUCUCACUCCUUAAUCGAGCCGUUUUCUGAGAUGGAAAAAAUCGAAUGAGGAACCUUCGAGUACAUUCUUCCCAUGAUGUGAUGGAUUGGUGUGGUUUAGUAAGUAACCAUCUCUUUGCUUCCCCCAGUAGAGAAAAAGGAAAGAGUAUCAAUCUGACAUAAUCAACACUCAUAUCUUCAGGAAUACAUGUGUCCCUUAUCUCUAGGAAGGUUCGUAAAUGCUGCUGCGGAUCCUCAUGUGAAAGUCCCUGAAAUUCUCCCACAGAUUUCAACAAUUGCACCAUAUUUUGUUUCAAUUCUCAUCGAACUCCUUGUUCAAGAUUCAGGAUACUGUAAGUCACAAGGUGCGUAAGUGGGAUUGCCACUUCUCGAACAGGUCUUGCGACUGGUUGAACAGGAACAGCUGGAGCUGGAACAUUUUCAACAUUUGGAUUAGCAACUAUAGGAUCGAGUCUUUCUGCCAUCGAUUGAGCUCUUUGUCUCUGAUGAAAAAUCACUUCUGGUUCUGCAAAGGGCUCUACUAACUCUUUGUCUCUCGCCAGUCCAAUAUUCAGCUAAACCUGCAAAAAUUCAGCCACUAAGAUCAAGUUGUUAACACUUAAACUUAUGAUCAAAAACUAAAAAUUAAAGCAAUUUACUAGUUCUAUUUGAUCCCCGGCAACGGCACCAAAAACUUGUUGCGUCUCUAUGCACACGCAAGUGUACGUGAUCGUGCAAGUAAUAUAAUGACUUAGUCAGAUAUCGUUCCCUCGAGGAUCAAUAAACUAGAAAUUUAUUCAAUCUUUACUUCAAGACAAUUGAGUAUUAAGUGUUUGAUUGUAUCAAGAUUAAUAUGCUUUUGUAAAUAAAAUUUAAAUUACUAAACAAGAAAUAAUUUAUGAUGACUAAAGCAAAGUAAGCAACGGUUGUAAUCAAUAAUGAGGACGAUUCUAGGGUUGAGGUAUUUUGAACAAUCAUACAAUUCUCUAUUCUAUUCACAGUCUAAUUGGUUAUCGGGUUGAUGGUUCGCAAGGUUUGUGCCACAAUCUUAGUCUCCCGGCCUCAGAUCUUCUAUCUAUUGAAUAUUGUAACUACAACUCCCGCAGAGUUACAACAAAUCUUCUAAAUUCAUGAAGUUGUCUUCCUACAAGUGAACCAAGCAAGGUUUCUAGGUAUAUCCCUAUCCUAUAUGCUAAUUCAAAUCCCUUAUUUUAUAAAAGAAUAAGAACCUUACUCCCUAAUUUCUUCGUUCUAUCCUAUGAUUCUCCUCCUGGAUUCACAUAGAAAUAUAAAUUUAUUCUAAUGGUGGUCAAUCAUUAAAAUAGUAAGCUCAAGAAAUUAGGAACAACCCAUAUGAUAAUCCAAAAGGAAACUACGAAUAAGAAUAUUAAAUAGUACUCAUGUUCUUAGCCUCAACCCCAGAAAGGGGGUGUUUAGCUACUCAUGUAUGAAUUAACCCUCCAAAAUAAGUAACAAGUCAUACCCAAAUCAAUCCUUGAAAUAGAGAAACUCAAAAGAAUGUUUAUGAACCUUAAAAGAGAAAAAUUUUCGUUUUUUCGCCAUUGCUCUGCUUGACAAAAGUCUCCCACAUUAUCUUGGAUUUUUCCUUUUACAGUUGGGACAAAAAUACUUAAAAUAUUCCCGAUUUAUCCAUCCGGCGCGUCGCGCCAUGACUAAGAUUGCUAUUUUCCAUUAAAAUCUGAAAAAUCGCGGAGCUCCAGUAUUCCCCAACAAUUGUAAAAUGCACCCUCACCGCUACACGCCACUAUCGCGGUGAGGCACUGGAUUGGGACAAUUGUGAAAUGAUCAUCCUCCACGACGCGCUAAACCUUCAGGUCACCAAAUCUGAUAAACUAACUUUCUCCGUGACGCGGUAUUUUGCGAACCUUCACUGGAAUUCGACCAUUGCUAUUUUGUUGCUCAUCGGGACGCAGAGUGUCUUCAAAUGAUAAUUACAAAAAAAAUAAAAUUAAACAACAAUAAAUGCCAAAACAAAAACAAAUAAUUAUAAUGAAAUUUUAAACAAUAAUAACUGCCGAAAAAAAACAAAAAACAAGAUAUACACAUGACAUCUAAUACUUGCUUGAUUAAAAUUACUUAUUAAAAAUUUAAUAAGUAAAAAUGAAAAAUAUAUGGCUAUUUUAAAAAUUAAAAUUACUUAUCAUAACAGAGAGGAACGUAUAUAUUCUUUGAAUAUGAAUAGUUGGAGGAGUUUCCUACUUCUGCUAAAUUACCUUUCAUUAUGACUCAAAUAAUUAUAUCUAUCUUCAUAUAAUAAUAGAGGCAAAAUUGCCACAUAUCAGCAUCAUAAAAAAAUAAUUUUAAAAUAUUUUUUUAAAAAAAUUAUUCACUAAAUUUUUUUUGUUUUAAAAAAAAAAUUUAUUACACAAAAAACUCACAUAUAAGAUAAUAACAGUAUAGAAAAACUACCAUAUAGUAAAAACUGCACAUAGUAAUUAAGGUUAUGAAAAAUUGCCACAUAUUCAAGUUAAAACACAUUUUUUACUUGAGAAAAAUUAAAUCAUAUAUCUAUGUCUAAUAGGAGAGGCAAAAAUAUCAUGUGUAAGCACCAAGAAAUUUUUUCAAUUUUAACAUUUAACUUUCCAUCACAAUAGAAAUUUCAACUUUAAAAAGAUAAAAAUCAACGUACAGUCACAAUAGAACUUUUGCUAAUCAACUUCCAUAGUUUUAUUUUUCUUAAUAUUUAACAUUUUCGUAAUAAAUUUAUCUAUAUCUAAUAGUACAUUUCCGUACAUAAUUUAAAAAUUAAAAAAUAAUAAUACAAAAAAAAAUUAAACAACAAUAAAUAUCAAAAAAAUAAAUAAAUAAUUACAAUAAAAUUUAACACUACACACAACUUAAACAACGAAAGAUGAAAAUAGGACUUUUCGUAAAAAAAUAAAAAAAUAUAGUAUAUCUAUAUCUUAUAGGAGAGGGAAAAUGUCAUGUGUCAGCACCACAUAAAAGCAAUAAUUUAUUUUUUAAAAAAUAAAAAUUCUUUUUUUUAAAAACACUUAACAUUCCAUCACAAUAGAAAUUUCAAUUUUAAAAAGAUAAAAAACAGUGUACAGUCACAUCUAAAACUUUUGCUAAUCAACUUUCAUAUUUUUAUUUUUCUUAAUGUUUAACAUUUUCGUAAUAAAUCUUUCUAUAUAUAAUAGCACUUUUCAUUCCAAAAUUUAAAAGUUUAAAAAAUAAUAAUUACAAAAAGAAAAAUUUAAACAACAAUAACUGCCCCCAUAAAAAACAAUUACAAUAAAAUUUAACACUACACAAAACUUAAAUAACGAAAGAUGAAAAUAGGACUUUUCAUAAAACAAUUUAAAAAAUUUAAAAUAAUAAUUACAAAAAAAAUAUAAACAACAAUAAUUGCCAAAAGAAAAAAAAUAAUUACAAUAAAAUUUAACGCUAUACACAAUAACAAAAUAUGAAAAUAGUACUUUUCAUUACAAAAUUUAAAAAGUAAAAAUAAUAAUUAAAAAAAAAAUAAACAACAAUAAAUGCCAAAAAAUAAAUAAUUACAAUAAAAUUUUAAACAAUAAUAACUACCGAGAAAAAUAAAAUAUCUAUAGCUAAUAGAAGAGGCAAAAAUAUCAUGCAUCAACACCACGUAAAAGUAGUAAUUCUUUUUUUUUUUUUAAAUAAAAAUUUCUUUUUUUAAACACUUAACUUCCCAUCACAAUAAAAAUUUCAAUUUUAAAAAGAUAAAAAAUAACGUACAGUCACAUCUAAAACUUUUGCUAAUCAACUUCCAUAUUUUUUUAUUUUUCUUAAUAUUUAACAUUUUUGUAAUAAAUCAAUUGAUAUCUAAUAGCACUUUUUAUUACAAAAUUUAAAAAUUAAAAAAUAAUAAUUACAAAAAAAUAAAUUAAACAACAAUAACUGCCAAAACAAAAAUAAAUAAUUACAAUAAAAUUUAACACUACACAACUUAUAUAACGAAAGAUGAAAAUAGGACUUUUCAUAACAAAAUUAAAAAUAAUAAUUACAAAAAAAAAAAAUUGAACAACAAUAACUGCCAAAAGAAAAAUAAAUAAUUACAGCAAAAUUUAACACUAUACACAACUUAAAUAACGAAAGAUGAAAAUAACACUUUUCAUUACAAAAUUUUUAAAAAGUAAAAUUAAUAAUUACAAAAGAAAAUUUAAACAAUAAUGAAUGCCAAAACCAAAACAAAUAAUUACAAUAAAAUUUUAAACAAUAAUAACUGUCGAAAAAAACAAAAAACAAGAUAUACACACGACAUCUAAUACUUGAUUGAUUAAAAUUACUUACUAAAAAUUUAAUAAGUAAAAAUUAAAAAUUAAAAAUAUACGGCUCUUUUUAAAAAUUAAAAUUAUUUAUCAUAACAGAGUGGAACGUGUAUAUCCUUUGAAUAUGGAUAGUUCGAGGAGUUAGUUUUAAAACUACCUACUACACUCCUACUUCUGCUAAAUUAUCUUUCGUUACGACUCAAAUACUUAUAUCUAUCUUUAUAUAAUAAUCUAUAUUUAUAUAAUAAAUGAGGCAAAAUUGCCACAUAUCAACAUCAAAAAUAUAUUUUUAAAAUAUUUUUUUAAAAAAAUAAUUCACAAAAUUUUAUUUUAUUUUUUUUUAAAAAAAGUUAAUUCACAAAAAUCUCAAAAAUAAGAUAAUAACGUAGAAAAACUACCGCAUAGUAAUUAAGGUUAUAAAAAACUGCACAUAGUAAUUAAGGUUAUGGAAAACUGCCACAUAGUCAAGUAAAAACACAUUUUUUACGUGAGAAAAAUUAAAUCAUGUUUUUUAACAUCUUUAAAAAAUAGUAGGCCAUUAAACUUAAAAAUAAAUUUAAUUUUAAAAUUAAAAUGGUUAUAUUUAAAUUUUGCAAUUAUGCUAUUAUCUUUUGAAUUUGAGUUAAGAUAAACAUGUGAUUCUUUAGAUAAAAAUAAAGAUUCAAAUGUGGCGUUAUUUUUUUUUUUUAAAAAAAAUUAGAAUAAGAAUAACUGCAUUGUAUUCUUUAUUUAAGCUUUUUUUUUUUUUUGGACAUUUCUAACUAAACUCCAACCUUUCAAAUCCUAAGCAAGUCCUAUGGCUUUCAUUCACUUCUUAUUUUGGUUGAAAUGGUCUUUUACUAGGAUAAACUUCUACAAUAAAAAUCAUUACUUAUCAAUUAUCAUAAGUAUGGGGCAUUGACAACAAUUGCUUAUUCUUUUUAUUGUGUAUUUUCUCUAAUUUAUUUAUCGUUUUGAUUUGAUAUGUUGGUGGCAAAAGUUUGCUUCUUUUCCCAUUAUUUUUCAGGAGAACCUUUUCAAUUUAAUAUUAGUAUUGAAACUUUAUUUGCUGAGAUUAGAAAUGUGUUUUUGCAAAAUGUGAUUUACUUUCAACAAGUUUAGGAUGAUAAUUUACUACAAAAGUUCGUUUUAUCAGGAAAGCUGAACUCAUUUUUAUGUUCAAUACUCAUGCUACAUCAUAUUAUGUUUAGAAUGGUAUAGUAAUUUAUUAUAAAAAAAAAAUUCGUAGUCAGAAUAAUCAUUAUCAACUUAUCGUCCAUCAUGUUAUAAUCACACAUCGAAGAUUAACAACAUAGAAUAAUUAGUCGUAUGUUUUUAUGAAAAAAAUUUCUCUAAAACACGCAACUACUACUAUUAAAAUGUAUAAUAACACUUAUUAUACACAAAUUUAAAUAUUUUAUUUAGAAAUUGUGUUCAUACACAAAUUUAUGGAUUAUCAAAAUUGUUCUUAUUUACUGUGCAAAAUUAAAGCACAAAUUAAUAGAAAUGAAAAAGCAAAUUGCAGACCUAAUGGAAGGGAAAAUUGAAGUGAAAAAAAAAAAAUAAGCAGGACAUUCAUUCUACUGAUUAAUUAAGCUUUUUUAAAAAAAGAAAAGAAAAAAUUUGAAAGCAUGUUAAAUAAUCAUUUUAACAACUUGUAAUUUACUCUUCACAUGUGGCUUAUAAAAGGAAAAUAAAUAACCUCAACAAAAAUAUAAACUUAAAUAUUGAAACAAAUAGAUUGAAUAUGAUAUUAUAAAUAAGAACUUAUUUAUAGUUAUGCAAAAGAUAUAAUUCAAAUGCAGACACAAACUUCUACUGGUUUUGUUGCCUCCAUAUCAUCAGACCUAUCAAACUGAACCGACAGCCAUCAGAUUGGGAGGAACAUGACAAUUUAUGUUUGGAAAUUCUUCAUACUAUAUUCUUUACGGUCCAUAUACAACCUACUAGAAAAGAGAAAUAUAUUCCUAUCUUAUUCCCGCUAAUGUAUUAUUUUAUUUAAUUCCUAUUCCAUAUAUGCGUAGAUUAGUUUCAUUUGAUCUCUCUCAUUGAUAAAUUGCAAUUUUACUUCUUGCUCUAUUUACUAAGAAAAUUUUAAUUUUGAAUCCCAUUCAAUAUUUAUUAAUGUAACAAUUCAAUAAUUUAUGUGUAACUAACUUGUUUAAUAGUUAAUAAUACAGUAAUGUUAUAACAAUUCAAAAGUUCAUACUGCAAUUGAUUGAAGAUUGAUCAAGUAUUAUAACUAAAUAUAACAAAAAUCAUCAUCUCACGAUAUUUCAGAAACUAAAGUCGAAUUCUGCUCCUUUUUUUCAGUAUGUGGUUUAACGUAAAUCAAGUUUAUUUGACCAGAGUCAUUAUCCAUACUUCAUAAAAGAAAAAAAAAAUCGAACCAUCACUCAAUCAUGAUAAAUAAUUAUAUUCACUCACUAAUAUAUGUAAAUAUAUAGUAUUAUUUACUUUAAAAAGAGCAAAUCUAUUCACUAAAAAUCUCAUAAAUAAAGAUCGAGAAGGUGGUAUAUAUAUAAUCUUACCGUUACUUUAUAAGUAUAGAGAGAUUAUAUAUCUUCGCUGAUUAUUAUUAUUUUAAUAAAUAACUAUAUCAUGUUAAAUUUUAAAAUAUCUAUUAAAUAGAAGAGGUGCUUUCCACCACCUCUUACGUAAUUACCAAAACACCCCUCUACUCUCAUUUAAUUACAUAUCAUAUCCCAAUAUAUAAUAAUUUCAUUGUUUUAAUGGUUUAAAUACUUAAUAUGUUCUAUUAAUUUAUAUUAAUUAACUAUAACUACAUAUUGAAAGUAAAAAAAAUAUUUAUUUAAUUGACUAUCAUGUUCAAAACUAAUUUGUUACCACAAAUUACAAUAAUUAAUAACUUAAAAUAUUUAAAAGACAUAGAGAAAUUUUAUUGACUCUCAUUAUUUUAGCAAUACCACAUAAAUUGAGAUAAAAGAAAAAGUACUGCAAAUCAUAAUAAUUAACAACUUAAAGUAUUUAAAAGAUGUAUAAAAAUUUUAGUUGACUCUCAAAAUUGUAUCGAAGCCACAUAAAUUGGGACACAAGGAGUAAAUAUANNNNNNNNNNNNNNNNNNNNNNNNNNNNNNNNNNNNNNNNNNNNNNNNNNNNNNNNNNNNNNNNNNNNNNNNNNNNNNNNNNNNNNNNNNNNNNNNNNNNNNNNNNNNNNNNNNNNNNNNNNNNNNNNNNNNNNNNNNNNNNNNNNNNNNNNNNNNNNNNNNNNNNNNNNNUACAAAAUUAAUAAAUUUAAUUUAAUAAAAUAAAUUUCUAAUGAAUAUUUUCUUAGAAUUUGUGUUGGGUCAAUAUGUAUCAAGUUAAAAAGAAAUAAAGAAAAAUAUAUAGUAAAAUUUUAUUAUUGUGAAAGAUAAAUAUAAUGCACUAUCUAAUAAUGUUUAAUAAUAUCAUACUUUGCAUAUGCAAAUACAGCAUCCCGUAUUUAAUUAAUAUACUAUUCCGAUGAAUUAUCGAUCAUUACUAUUGGGUAUGAUAAAAUUAUAUUAAUUUUUAUAGUAAUAACAUAAUCAAUCGCUCUUAAUUAAUUAUUACGAGUCAUCUAGGUAUUAAGAAAAUAAAUAAUAUUUAAUGAAAAAUAAAAUGUGAAAUUAACUAUUAAUUUUUUAAAUUAAAUUUUCGUCUUUCGAACGAUGAUUUAACUAAAUCACUCCUUAUUAUAAGUCAUUUAUGUAUUAGAAAAAAAAGAAUAACAAUAUGAUAUGUCAACAUCAAAUAUUUGAUUGACUAUCAAAAUUAUAUUAGUUCCACAUAAAUUAGGACGGGACAGAAAACGAUAUAAAAUAACAUAUAUUAUUUGAAAAUGAAAUAAAAAGUAGUGUAAAUAACAAUAAUUAACAAAAAAAAAAUAUUAAAAAUUUGACUGAUUUCUGCUUUAGCUGCUUCAAUCGUGAUUUUAAUGUACAAUGAUGUUUAAAGAGGGGAAAAUGACAUAAUGAGAUUUAAAAAAGAUAAAAUGUAUGUAGUAAAGUGUGAAAAGAAUAAAGCAUAAGUAAAUUUUAUUACUAUAUUUUAAAGAAAUUAAAGAAAAGAAGUAUAAAUAUUAUUUGCAAAAGUUUUUAUAAACUAAUUUAAAUAUAAAUAAAGUAAAUUUAGGUACAAAAACGUGUAUCUAUCACAAAUUUGCUAUCAAAUAUUUCACAUUUUUUUAACAUUAGCAAAUUUUCUAUCAAAUAUGUGUAGCUAUCUUUCUCAACUUUUUACAGCUCCUCAAUAUUAAUUAAUAUUUCUCUGUUUUAAAAAUAAAAUAAAGAAAAAAAAAUCUCAACGCUUCCUUCUCUAUUAAAAAAUAACACUCUUUUCUUAUGUUAAAAAUAAUAAUUAAACAAAACAAUAGCGAAUCUAAGCUGUGUAUUCUCUUUAUCGGGUAAGUUUACAUGAUUCUUAAUCUUUGCGAUGUUGAAAAUCAAUAACUAUUUCAUCAGAUUUACGUCUAUUCUUUCUUUAUAUUUCUGAUUGCAAAAUUCAACAAAAAGAUUAAAAAAAAAUUUCAAUUGUGAUUCCCUCAGCUCAAUCAUACUAAUGAAAAAUAUUCAACUGCUCAAACUUUCUACUCUAAGAUAAAUUUUAAAAUUUAAAAAUUACAAUCCACAUAUUCUACUGUUGGACUCGUGCUGACACAGGCCUUGCACUUCUAAUUUAGUAAUAAAUAUAAAUCCCACAAGAGAUCAAAAAAAAAAAAAUAAAAAAAAAAAUGAAGUUGCUUGGAAACUGGUGGAAGAGUCCAAAUGAAACAAGUCUCCAUACAGCUGUAUCUACCGAUUCUUGCGUUGUCACCAUUCUUUAUUACUUACCACACGAAAUAUCCCAUGGUCUAAAAACAAUAAUAAAAGGAGAGUCACAAAUUAUAGAAAAUACACGUGUCAAAUUUUGGUUAUACACGUUUCCUUAGCCUUACAAUAAUUCUCGCCCCUAUAUAAAUAGGCUCAAUACCUCUGCAUGUAGUUAUGUGCUUCGCUAUCGAUAUAUUAACAUAUCAAUAAUAAUUCUCUCUUCCCAGAUAAUCUUUUGUUCUAAAUCAAUUUUAUUUUGGAUCUACCCUUUUUCAAUUUGCAUCGUCGAUUUACUUAACCAGUAAGUUUUUUUUUUCUUUCUUUAUGAUAUGAUAAUUGAAUUUUGUGCGUAUUUGAUAUGAUUUGAUUUUUUAAUUUUGUGUUUUAUAGGGUUGUGUUAAAGAAGCUUUUAUAAUUCAAUCAAAGGAGGUCUCUCUGCAUCGGCUUAUAUCACUAAUUUUUGUAAGUAAAGUAAAGAUUCUGUUGCUUUAUGUUAUUUUCGUGUAUCGUUUUGCUCUGUUGUUGCUGAAUUUGAUAAUGCUUGGUGUUUUUUUGAUUGAAAUUUUAAUUUUCUCCUUUUUUUUGCCCUUAUUUUGGUGGAAUAGUCCCUUGUUUUACAAUAAUUUUCUUGUAAUUGCGUAUAGAAUUGAUUUCUUGUUACUAACUUAGGUUUUCUUAUUUUUUCGAUGUGCUAUUUUGGUGUUUUCUUUUGAUGUUAUUAAAGCCCUUUUCUUUCGUUUUUUAAAAGCAAAAUAGUUAUGAAUGUUUAGAUUUGUCUUUGCAAAAUUAGUGGUUGGUUCGUCUUUUGAUGGAAAGUUAUCAAAUCUUUUGUGGGUGGGUGGAACAUACAUAAACUGCUUUAUUUGCUUUACAUAGUUGAUUUUUGAUACUCCUCUCCAUUUCGCUAAGAACGACCUAAUUUUAUUGAUUUGGCACGGAGAUUAAGAAAUUAAAGAAAUUUUUGAACGUUAAGAACGACCUAAUUUUAUUGAUUUGGCACGGAGAUUAAGAAAUUAAAGAAAUUUUUGAACGUUAAGAACGACCUAAUUUUAUUGAUUUGGCACGGAGAUUAAGAAAUUAAAGAAAUUUUUGAACUUGUCGUCCUAAAUUAAAAUUAUGUCAAAUUUUCAUUAAAGUAUUCCUAAAAAGGAAAGGGGUCCAUUUCUUAUGGAAAUGGAUUAAAAAGGAAAGUAGAUCAUUCUUUUUUUAAAACGGAGCGAGUAUGUUUUAUUUGAACCGAGUCUUUUGUAGCCACCCCUAAAGGCACAACUUGUUUGAUAAUACUGGGCAUAUUGUUGAAAUUAUCGAACCUUUAGUAGAUGCUACUGUUUAAAUUUUUUUCUUUUUGGAAAAAAUAAAGACAUAUUUUUGUUAGUUAUAGAUAUAGAUUUAUUAUACAGUAUUUCUUUUCUUUAUGUUUUUUCUUAUGGGUAUUGUUGUUAUGAUUUACCAUCUGAAAUGCUAUUACCAUCUUUGGAUGGGAUUAUUGUAAUAAGCUUCAAAGAGGCUAUCCUUCUACCAUGGGUUGAUAGAAUUAGACCAGAUGUUAGGCAGCUGUUGUCUUCUUAGUAUAGAAAUAGCCAACUUACACACCAUAACAACAAUUAGUUGUUUGUAAGCCACAUAAAUCAGUUUCCUCUGUUUGAGGAGGAGUUAUUUGUAUUCAAUCGUAGUUCUUGAUCUAUUUUCUUGUUGUCUCCAUAAAUCUAUCAAAGGCCAAACUUUUCUUUUUUUUUUUCUAAUCUAUCAAAGGCCAAACUUUUCAUAUUUUAUUUCUGACCAUCUUCUUUCUUUUAAUGCCCUAAGCAGGUAGGAAUCGAUGAACUAAUGGAGUCUAAAGGUGGGAAGAAGAAGUCUAGUAGUAGUUCCUUAUGUUACGAAGCUCCCCUAGGUUACACUAUUGAAGACGUUCGACCAAACGGAGGAAUCAAGAAAUUCAGAUCAGCUGCUUACUCCAACGUGAGUUCAUUUAUCCUUUACCUUAUGUAUCUUAUUAGUUUGCAUCUUCGUGCAUACAUGCUGACUGCUUGCGUUUCUCUAUCUUUUUCAUAUGCAGUGCACUCGCAAGCCAUCCUGAGAUUUCCCGUGAUCUAGAAUAAACCACCAGAGGUGGUUCUAAGUAGUUUUAGAAUUCUGUUUUUCUCAGCUUUUUUUCUUCAUCCCUCAUCCUCGUUACACGCUCCAAAAUUUAGUCCUUUCCGAACACACACUUUCAAGCAAGAUGGAUUUGCCGGUAUCUGCAAUUGGAUUUGAAGGUUAUGAAAAGCGACUUGAGAUUUUCUUUUUCGAGUUAGGAAACUCUUAUGGCCCUGGAUGUGGCCUACGGUCGCUCUCCAAAGAUCAGUUGGAUGAAAUUCUGACACCUGCUGCAUGCACCAUAGUGUCUUCAUUGGCUAAUGAUGAAGUUGACUCUUAUGUCCUUUCAGAGUCUAGCCUCUUUGUCUACUCUUACAAGAUCAUAAUCAAAACUUGUGGCACCACAAAACUGCUGCUCUCGAUCCCGCCCAUUCUUAAGUCGGCUGACUCACUUGACCUGAAAGUGAAGUCUGUGAGGUACACUCGUGGUAGUUUCAUCUUUCCUGGGGCUCAACCAUACCCACAUCGUCACUUCUCCGAAGAAGUGGCCGUGCUUGACAGCUAUUUUGGUAAGCUUGGUGCAGGCAGCAGUGCAUAUGUGAUGGGUAGUGCUGAUAAACAACAGAACUGGCAUGUCUAUUCUGCUUCAGCUGAAUCUGCCGAUGCCAAUAAUGUGAAUCCAGUUUAUACACUGGAGAUGUGCAUGACUAACUUGGACAAGAAAAAGGCAUCCGUAUUUUUCAAGACUCAAUCUAGCACUGCUGCUGAGAUGACUGAACUUUCAGGCAUUCGGAAGAUUCUUCCAGAAUCAAACAUAUGCGAUUUUGAUUUUGAACCUUGUGGUUACUCAAUGAAUGCUGUUGAAGGCUCGGCAAUCUCCACGAUUCACAUAACACCCGAGGAUGGAUUCAGCUAUGCAAGUUUUGAAGCAGUGGGUUAUGAUUUCAGAGAGGUCAACUUAACUGCAAUGAUUGAGAGGGUGUUGUCCUGCUUCGGACCUGCUGAGUUUUCCGUGGCAUUACACUCUGACACUCCUGGGAAGGAACUUUAUACUGACUCGAGCCUGAACAUCAUCGGAUAUGUCUCUGGCGAAAAGACUACUGAAGUGCUUGGUGAGGGAGGAUCACUUACGUACCUCACAUUCAGCAGUGGUGGUAGCUGCGGCGGAUCCCCCAGAUCAAUCCUUAAUAACAGCUGUUGGAGUGAGAACGAGGAUGAGGAAAUGGAGAAGAUAUAUUAAUGAGAAAUAUGUCUAUUCUCUUUUUUAGUACGCAAUACUAUAGCUCUGGUAUAGAUAUCCAAGCAUGCAAAUAAUGUUUCUUUGUGGGUUCAUUACGUCUAGUACUAGUAUCAGUUUCUCGUAUUUUAAUUUAGUUCUGUGAUAUGUGUGGGAAUGAAAUAACUGUCUGCUGAGUCUAUGAAGCUUCUUAGCUUUAUAGCGUUUGUGGUAUUAUUAUUGAGUUGUCUGGUGUUGUGUAAUAAAACCUUUUGGGAGACUAUUAUAUGAAAUAUUGUUAUUGUCAAUAUAUUUGCACUCAUAUGUUCUGAUGUGUUUACUCUUUGAACAUUCACUUUCUUGAAAAAUCUUCAUUAGAAGGUACGCUCUUGAUACCAGUGUAACUAGUAAAACUCGUCGAUUGUAUUACUACUACUACUACCAUCUUAUUCUUUGGUUAUAUUGCUACAUGUUUUUCCGUUACUUCGAUUAUUGUAUUAGUUAUUGUUUAACUAUUUUCUUUUUCUUUUGGCAUAUCUUUUUCACUCCUAAUUAUUUUUUCUUGAAUUUGAUAUGCACCAUUUGUAUCAGUUGAGUAAUAACCACUUGGAAGGUUUUUUAUAUGACAAGCUUUUCUACUUAAAUUUUAUACUAGUCUAGUUUCUGGUCAUUGUUGUUUGUUCUAAUCGAUUACUAAUAACCAAUGAAGGUCUUCUAUUCGAUAAACUCUUCCUACUUAAAAUUUAUUCUAGUCUAGUAUAAUGAUGAGGCAUACCACGAUAUAGUAGUUGCAGUCUCUUUUCAAAAUUAUUGGUGUACCUCUGCAUUAAUAGUUGCAUAUGCCCUAGGGAGAAAAAAUGAGUUGAAAGAUCCUUCCAAAGGAGAAGUAGGUCUCACAAUAUUAUUAAGUUAAAAAAAAGAUGAAGUCGUUUAAACAACUGUGACAGUUGUUCGACAACUGAACUUUGAUCAAAUUGUUGAUAGAACUUCUAUAGUUGUUGGGACCAACCUUUUUAGUUGUUGGAGCGAAAAUGUUUAAAAAAAAAUGGAAAUUUUUUAUUAAAACUUGAAGGACCUCACUUAAUUGAGAAACUUAUUUGUCCCUCCGCAUUAUGAGCAAACGCUAAUUUGCUAUGUCUGAAAAAUUCUUGGAUUUUUUUUUUCCAGUUAAUUCAGCAAGAGGAUUUACACUUUAAAAUAAAUUAAGAAAUUCAAAGAAAAAGAUGUGCUAAUCUUCACUUGUCUAUUCUUCAUCUUCAUAUCCAAAAACUGAACUACCUCACCUCACACUGACCCAUCAUAGAGGAACUCAAUGUCCAACCAUAUUAUUGAAAAUUAUACUAGAACCUGAUGGGCUUUUAAGAUCAAAUCCACUAGGAAGUAGUGUCAUAAAGAUAAAUAGACCACAGAAUGAUAUAACCACGAGCUGAGUUGUAUGCAAAAUUCCAAUUUUUAGAAACAUGAAGCAUAAGCUUCAGUAGACAAAAUAAAUUAGUAUGUACUCACUCAACUACAACCAAAAUUGGAAACUACAUACAAGAACAAUGUUCAUUAUACUCGUCUCCCGCGUACUAUAAUAUGCCCUGUGCUGUGAGCUAAGCUGAUUCUCUUUAAGGAAGCAGAACUUGAGCUGAACAAAUCUAGACACCGGUUCUCUGAAAAUUUUGUGUAGCUACAACUCUGUUAUGGAGAUUUCUUUGUUUAGUAAGGUCGAAAUUUCCUUGCCGCCCUCAACUGCUGUAUCCGCUUCUUAUCCUGCUCAAAUUUGCUCUGCAACACCAUGAUCUCUGUGCACAAAUAAAAAAAAACAACAAUGAUAAGUUACGACCAGAAGACCGAGCAAUAACCAUAUUGAAAUGAGGAAUUCAUUGGCACUCACACCAAUGAGAAGUCAAGUAGAGUAACAUAGCAGCAUCAAGUCAUGGCGAGUAGGUGACUGAAUGGGUCGAGAAAAUUUAACUUAACUAGUCCAACGUAACAUAGUCAGAUCGGGUUUACAUUGAACUCAAAUUCUUUACAUGCCGUUAUGUUCAUAAAAGCAAAGUUGAAAAGGGAAUCUCUACUGACCCUUUGAUGGGACUAAGGAAACAAACUACAAGUAGAAUAACAGAAGAGGAAACAUUGGAUUUAAAACCAGCAAACACAGGUAACUUAAGUAGUCUAACUUUUAUACGAAUGAAAGAUGAGCUACAGUUCCACGAUAAAGGAAGAAGGACUAGAAGUUACGAGACGGAGGAGAAGUUCACAACCAUGACCAGACACUGCAUAUACACGUAACAAAGAGAGUGCUUGGACAACUCCACCUUGAAAAGAGAAGAUUUCGAGAACAAAGAUGUGUGGAGGUAACUCUUCUUCUCCCUCCUUGAAAUUAUUUUUCCAUAAAAAGGGGUGAAUUCUUACAAACUUAAACAAUUGAAGCUUCCUUUUUGAAGUUGUUUUCAAGAGAUCAAAUUUACAGUUGUUUCAACUUUCAAGGAUUAUCUGAGGCUCAUUUUGGUUAUCUACCAUGAAUGAUAGAAAAACUUGCUAAACUAAUUGUAUAACAAGCUACCAAAACACGGCUGCCUUUUCAAGCAUCCUAAUAUUGACUAAAUUAGCUAAUGACAAUUCCGUUCAAGCUUAGAAACCCCUUCAUCAGAUGUAAAUACCUUUUCAUUAUUUGAUUGAUCAGAUAAAUUUAAACUUUUGAGAUUUUGAAUUUACCUUUUAGAAAAUUUUGAACCGAGGAAAACAAAGUCCGUGGAUACAUAUGGAGGCAGAAAGUAUUGAAAAAGGCAAAGAUACAAUAAACUGACCAUUUCUCUUUGCUUCUCUUUUCUGAAACCGGUAGAAAUCUAACCCCACAUCUUUAUUCUUCUUUUUGGCCAUAUUGUCCAUAACUGCAGCCUGAGAAACAGAACCGACUGCAAUUCCAGUUUCAGAAUCUGUAGUCUUUUUCCUGCCUUUGUGAUGUACAACAACAGUCCAUCCAUCUUCUGCAGCAAGAGCUUCCUUUUCUUUCUUUUCCUGUAGGUACCAAAAUAGAAUAAUAUGAAACGGUAAUAACUGUACAUUCUUAACAUGUAUACGGUAUGCAACCACUACGAUGCAAGAACAUGACACAUCACUCUUUUCUUAUGUUAAAAAUAAUAAUUAAACAAAACAAUAGCGAAUCUAAGCUGUGUAUUCUCUUUAUCGGGUAAGUUUACAUGAUUCUUAAUCUUUGCGAUGUUGAAAAUCAAUAACUAUUUCAUCAGAUUUACGUCUAUUCUUUCUUUAUAUUUCUGAUUGCAAAAUUCAACAAAAAGAUUAAAAAAAAAUUUCAAUUGUGAUUCCCUCAGCUCAAUCAUACUAAUGAAAAAUAUUCAACUGCUCAAACUUUCUACUCUAAGAUAAAUUUUAAAAUUUAAAAAUUACAAUCCACAUAUUCUACUGUUGGACUCGUGCUGACACAGGCCUUGCACUUCUAAUUUAGUAAUAAAUAUAAAUCCCACAAGAGAUCAAAAAAAAAAAAAUAAAAAAAAAAAUGAAGUUGCUUGGAAACUGGUGGAAGAGUCCAAAUGAAACAAGUCUCCAUACAGCUGUAUCUACCGAUUCUUGCGUUGUCACCAUUCUUUAUUACUUACCACACGAAAUAUCCCAUGGUCUAAAAACAAUAAUAAAAGGAGAGUCACAAAUUAUAGAAAAUACACGUGUCAAAUUUUGGUUAUACACGUUUCCUUAGCCUUACAAUAAUUCUCGCCCCUAUAUAAAUAGGCUCAAUACCUCUGCAUGUAGUUAUGUGCUUCGCUAUCGAUAUAUUAACAUAUCAAUAAUAAUUCUCUCUUCCCAGAUAAUCUUUUGUUCUAAAUCAAUUUUAUUUUGGAUCUACCCUUUUUCAAUUUGCAUCGUCGAUUUACUUAACCAGUAAGUUUUUUUUUUCUUUCUUUAUGAUAUGAUAAUUGAAUUUUGUGCGUAUUUGAUAUGAUUUGAUUUUUUAAUUUUGUGUUUUAUAGGGUUGUGUUAAAGAAGCUUUUAUAAUUCAAUCAAAGGAGGUCUCUCUGCAUCGGCUUAUAUCACUAAUUUUUGUAAGUAAAGUAAAGAUUCUGUUGCUUUAUGUUAUUUUCGUGUAUCGUUUUGCUCUGUUGUUGCUGAAUUUGAUAAUGCUUGGUGUUUUUUUGAUUGAAAUUUUAAUUUUCUCCUUUUUUUUGCCCUUAUUUUGGUGGAAUAGUCCCUUGUUUUACAAUAAUUUUCUUGUAAUUGCGUAUAGAAUUGAUUUCUUGUUACUAACUUAGGUUUUCUUAUUUUUUCGAUGUGCUAUUUUGGUGUUUUCUUUUGAUGUUAUUAAAGCCCUUUUCUUUCGUUUUUUAAAAGCAAAAUAGUUAUGAAUGUUUAGAUUUGUCUUUGCAAAAUUAGUGGUUGGUUCGUCUUUUGAUGGAAAGUUAUCAAAUCUUUUGUGGGUGGGUGGAACAUACAUAAACUGCUUUAUUUGCUUUACAUAGUUGAUUUUUGAUACUCCUCUCCAUUUCGCUAAGAACGACCUAAUUUUAUUGAUUUGGCACGGAGAUUAAGAAAUUAAAGAAAUUUUUGAACGUUAAGAACGACCUAAUUUUAUUGAUUUGGCACGGAGAUUAAGAAAUUAAAGAAAUUUUUGAACUUGUCGUCCUAAAUUAAAAUUAUGUCAAAUUUUCAUUAAAGUAUUCCUAAAAAGGAAAGGGGUCCAUUUCUUAUGGAAAUGGAUUAAAAAGGAAAGUAGAUCAUUCUUUUUUUAAAACGGAGCGAGUAUGUUUUAUUUGAACCGAGUCUUUUGUAGCCACCCCUAAAGGCACAACUUGUUUGAUAAUACUGGGCAUAUUGUUGAAAUUAUCGAACCUUUAGUAGAUGCUACUGUUUAAAUUUUUUUCUUUUUGGAAAAAAUAAAGACAUAUUUUUGUUAGUUAUAGAUAUAGAUUUAUUAUACAGUAUUUCUUUUCUUUAUGUUUUUUCUUAUGGGUAUUGUUGUUAUGAUUUACCAUCUGAAAUGCUAUUACCAUCUUUGGAUGGGAUUAUUGUAAUAAGCUUCAAAGAGGCUAUCCUUCUACCAUGGGUUGAUAGAAUUAGACCAGAUGUUAGGCAGCUGUUGUCUUCUUAGUAUAGAAAUAGCCAACUUACACACCAUAACAACAAUUAGUUGUUUGUAAGCCACAUAAAUCAGUUUCCUCUGUUUGAGGAGGAGUUAUUUGUAUUCAAUCGUAGUUCUUGAUCUAUUUUCUUGUUGUCUCCAUAAAUCUAUCAAAGGCCAAACUUUUCUUUUUUUUUUUCUAAUCUAUCAAAGGCCAAACUUUUCAUAUUUUAUUUCUGACCAUCUUCUUUCUUUUAAUGCCCUAAGCAGGUAGGAAUCGAUGAACUAAUGGAGUCUAAAGGUGGGAAGAAGAAGUCUAGUAGUAGUUCCUUAUGUUACGAAGCUCCCCUAGGUUACACUAUUGAAGACGUUCGACCAAACGGAGGAAUCAAGAAAUUCAGAUCAGCUGCUUACUCCAACGUGAGUUCAUUUAUCCUUUACCUUAUGUAUCUUAUUAGUUUGCAUCUUCGUGCAUACAUGCUGACUGCUUGCGUUUCUCUAUCUUUUUCAUAUGCAGUGCACUCGCAAGCCAUCCUGAGAUUUCCCGUGAUCUAGAAUAAACCACCAGAGGUGGUUCUAAGUAGUUUUAGAAUUCUGUUUUUCUCAGCUUUUUUUCUUCAUCCCUCAUCCUCGUUACACGCUCCAAAAUUUAGUCCUUUCCGAACACACACUUUCAAGCAAGAUGGAUUUGCCGGUAUCUGCAAUUGGAUUUGAAGGUUAUGAAAAGCGACUUGAGAUUUUCUUUUUCGAGUUAGGAAACUCUUAUGGCCCUGGAUGUGGCCUACGGUCGCUCUCCAAAGAUCAGUUGGAUGAAAUUCUGACACCUGCUGCAUGCACCAUAGUGUCUUCAUUGGCUAAUGAUGAAGUUGACUCUUAUGUCCUUUCAGAGUCUAGCCUCUUUGUCUACUCUUACAAGAUCAUAAUCAAAACUUGUGGCACCACAAAACUGCUGCUCUCGAUCCCGCCCAUUCUUAAGUCGGCUGACUCACUUGACCUGAAAGUGAAGUCUGUGAGGUACACUCGUGGUAGUUUCAUCUUUCCUGGGGCUCAACCAUACCCACAUCGUCACUUCUCCGAAGAAGUGGCCGUGCUUGACAGCUAUUUUGGUAAGCUUGGUGCAGGCAGCAGUGCAUAUGUGAUGGGUAGUGCUGAUAAACAACAGAACUGGCAUGUCUAUUCUGCUUCAGCUGAAUCUGCCGAUGCCAAUAAUGUGAAUCCAGUUUAUACACUGGAGAUGUGCAUGACUAACUUGGACAAGAAAAAGGCAUCCGUAUUUUUCAAGACUCAAUCUAGCACUGCUGCUGAGAUGACUGAACUUUCAGGCAUUCGGAAGAUUCUUCCAGAAUCAAACAUAUGCGAUUUUGAUUUUGAACCUUGUGGUUACUCAAUGAAUGCUGUUGAAGGCUCGGCAAUCUCCACGAUUCACAUAACACCCGAGGAUGGAUUCAGCUAUGCAAGUUUUGAAGCAGUGGGUUAUGAUUUCAGAGAGGUCAACUUAACUGCAAUGAUUGAGAGGGUGUUGUCCUGCUUCGGACCUGCUGAGUUUUCCGUGGCAUUACACUCUGACACUCCUGGGAAGGAACUUUAUACUGACUCGAGCCUGAACAUCAUCGGAUAUGUCUCUGGCGAAAAGACUACUGAAGUGCUUGGUGAGGGAGGAUCACUUACGUAC
This 64594-nucleotide long non-coding RNA is filed under the name Capsicum annuum. RNAcentral's name for it is "long non-coding RNA (CANN_LNC021857)". The stretch from base 45478 to 45584 matches the Rfam family "Plant small nucleolar RNA R71". The record is from RNAcentral. Lineage: Eukaryota; Viridiplantae; Streptophyta; Magnoliopsida; Solanales; Solanaceae.